This 50847-nucleotide long non-coding RNA is filed under the name Prunus persica (peach). RNAcentral's name for it is "long non-coding RNA (PPER_LNC001496)". Lineage: Eukaryota; Viridiplantae; Streptophyta; Magnoliopsida; Rosales; Rosaceae. The record is from RNAcentral.
CCAAACACACAGAUGCCAAGAUCUAUCAGUGAACUUCUGCAUCCUGGUUUGUGUUGAGCUCUUUAGAAUCUUAGAUAUCUCUUCUACCUGCCAUUUUACUAAAAUAUGUUCCACCACAUAUUUAUCAGUUAACCACUGUUAUUACAUGAGUGACACAUAUUCACAAAUCGGCUGAUCACUUAUUUUCCAUUAUGACGUUGAUAUAUAAUUUGCAGACUCCACAAAUGAAGAAAAGAGCACAAAUGACGUUGGCAAACCUGAAACUUUCCCAUUGGGCAAUAAACAUUACUCCAGUCAAAAACAUUAUGGAAGAGGCAAACCUGAAACUUUCCCAUUGGGCAAUAAACAUUACUCCAGUCAAAGACAUUAUGGAAGAGGCAAACCUGAAACUUUCCCAUUGGGCAAUAAACAUUACUCCAGUCAAAGACAUUAUGGAAGAGGCAAACCUGAAACUUUCCCAUUGGGCAAUAAACAUUACUCCAGUCAAAAACAUUAUGGAAGAGGCAAACCUGAAACUUUCCCAUUGGGCAAUCAGCAUUACUCCAGUCAAAAAAAGUAUGGAAGAGGUGCUUCUCCAUCCGACAAUCAACCACCAAUUCCAUAGAAAUUCAAACACGGCUACUUUCUUGCCACGAGAAAGCGCUCAAUCGAUCCCCUUCUCCUCUAACAAACUACCAGAAAUUUUCAACCAUUUUUCAGUGAAGCCAACAUCUGAGGAAGCCAAAACAAUUAAGCAAACAAUCGAAGAGUGUGAAGCUCCAGACCUUAAGGGAGAGGAAAUAUAUUGCGCCACAUCUUUAGAAUCAAUGGUUGAUUUUAGCACUUCGAAGCUUGGAACAAGAAACGUUGAAGCAAUCUCGACGGAGGUAUUGGAAAAAGGAGCCACCAUGUCCAUCCAAAACUAUACAACAAUGCCGGGACUGAAGAAGUUGGCAGGUGACAAAGUCGUUGUGUGUCAUAAGCAGAACUAUCCCUAUGCUGUGUUUUUCUGCCAUGCAAUAAAACAUACAGCAGCUUAUGCUCUCUCCCUGAAAGGCGAUGAUGGGGAGAAGGUUAAAGCAGUAACCAUCUGCCAUCUAGACACAUCAGAAUGGGACCCAGAGCAUAUGUCCUUCAAAAUCGUCAACGUUAAGCCCGGAACCAUUCCCAUCUGCCAUUUCAUUUCCACUGAUGCUAUUGCCUGGGUUCCGAACCACAAAUCUGCAUGAUCAUCACUUAGCACUAGUACUGUGCGUAUAAUAUGCCUGUAUAAUUAUCUCCCUACUUAUUUCUGCCUGUUCAUCAUGUGGUGUAAGAUAUAUGUUGAGAUGAAGUUUUUGGGAUUAGUGGUCGAAAUUAACCCGAUCAUGUUUUCUCUUGUAACUAUAUAGACUUCAACUUGUACUCAUAAUAAAGCAUGCUAUAUUUAUGAAGAGAUAUUAAUCUUCAGGCAAAUAGAUAUUAUGAAAACAUAUAUAGCAAUUUAUCCAGAAGAAAUAUUAUGAAAUGAAAAGAAUAAAAAGUAAAAAAACAGAAGGAAAGGAAUUCGCACCUGCUAUGUAUGAAAGGACCAAGAUUGUUUUCCCUUUGGUUAAUGACUAGAAAAGCUCACUUGCAGAUUGCUUUCUCUGACCGUAGAUGCAACAGAAAUUUUCUCUUAAUAAUAGCACAAUGAUCGGGUAAUUGUAAGAACAAGUUGAUUUAAAAUUCCUUGACCCAAAAAAAAAAAAAAAAUCAUUUCAAAUUCAGGUCAACCCAUAGAUUUCUUGCCUUUUUCUUCUUCAUCACGUUGGGCUUGUCUUCUUCUUGAGGAUUGUAUAGGCCCAGGAAAUGCUUUGAGGUAGUUUUUGGCCUUGGAAGUUGGGACCCAACCCAACUUCACAAAAAGAAAACAGAUUUGCCAAAAAUCAAAUUUCAAGUCUCUCCUCAGAUCACUAAUACAGAUCAAAUUUUGGAUUUGAUGAACUAAAGUGGUUUUACUUUCUCUGUCAGUGUUUGAUGACUUAAUUUGUUAUUUACUUCUUUUUUUUUUUUUACUUGAUCUUUGUAGGGGUUUUUUUCUUCCGGUAACUUAAACGGGCUGGGCUGCCGUAAAGGGUAGAUUGAUGAAAUUGUCUCCUUUGUCUGAGUUCGAAAAUCAAGCCCCAAAAGCGCUUCGAAAGGGCAGUAGAGCCUUAGGAAGCGUUCUAGUCAUCUUCACCAACUAAAACAACAGCAACUUACAGAUGAUUUCUUAAGGCUUACAGAUAAAUUUUCUAGCUUGGCAUGAGAGGCUUGUGACAUGGAAGCAAAAUCAGCAUGAGUUUAGCACCAAAGAGGAAAAUAUGGCUUCCUAGGGAGAAAUGGGAGUGUUUAAGGUGAGGAAGAAGAGGUUUGCAGGCUGAUUUGGCUGAGGAGAGAGAAAGAAAGAACAAUGUUCUUCCAGUAGCUUGACAAAGCUUCUGACAGAUGUGAAAGUCGUCUGCCAUAAGAGGAAAAUGAAGAAGAAUGGUGAAUAGUGCAUGAAAUUGCUGGGUUUUUGCAGGUAAGAGAGAAAGCUUGCUCUCUGAAUUUGAGUUGGUUUUUGGUUGGGUAGAAGAGGCCCCCUUUUAUAGCUGCGGGAAACCAUCUUUUUUCAAGAAACCCUAAUGGUUUCUAUCCAUUUUGGCCAAGCUUUUCCCUUCAUUUCUCUUCUCCUCCCUUGACUUUUCCUAUCUUGGUGAAAUUUCCUCUGCCUAUUUGCACAAAAUUAGAGAUUUUGAGGAGCUCAAGACCCCUUUCCCGCAGCUGCCUCAGUGGAGAAUCCCCAUUUUCAGUCAUCUUUCUUCCUUCUUUUCUCCCAUCUUCCAAGGUUAGGUCUGAUGAGGGAAAGAAAUGGGUAUGCACACUGGUUUGAAGGGUAUUUUUGCUUGAAACUUGUUCUCUCCCAUGUGCUGGAGCUUCCCAGCAACUUACACACAUGGAUAUUUUGGCUUUCAUCGUGGCUUUUGUUUUCAGCUAGGUGCUGGAGAUUUCGCAGAUAUUUUCAUGAGUUGCUUGGGCCUUCUAGGACAAUAGGUUGGUUUAUCAAGUGAAUGGGCUAACUUCAUCAAUUGUUGGGCUAUUUUGGUUGAGUUAAUGGACUAUUUUGGUUGAAGUAAUGGGCUAUUUUGGUUGAAUUAAUGGGCUAUUUUUCUCUCUUUGUGCUCACCCACAUAUUUGGGCCUAAGAAAUGGGCUUGAGUUCCGGGGCUCCCAAGCAACCCCGGGACUUCCAUUUCUCGGCCCAUCAAUGGGCCUCAUAUCAACUUAUUACCAUCCAUAUCACAACCCACUCAAGCAAGCCCUGGGCAUCUUGCGUGGCUUGGGCCCACUUAAGCUUGUAGCGUGACGUGUUGCUUAUUUGCUUGGCAUGGCAUGUGUGCAAGCGCAUAUGACGAACUUUAGCGUGCCCAAAUUGGGUUUAUUCUCGGUAAGGUAUCGCAUUGGGCCGAGAAUUUAAUUGGGCAGAACUGUGGAUUUUUGGGCCUCAACAAUCUUAUAUAUAUUGGUUUUCUUUUUUUCCUUAAUAUUCACCACCUUUCUGUUGCAUAAGUAUUUCAGUCUUAACGGGUUUCCAUCUACCACUCAUCUUUGCUCUUUUAAGUGUAAGCUUUUUUUUUUUUUUUUUAAGCACAAGAUUAGAGGGGAGGGGGAUUUCUCAAUGUAAGCUUUGCAGUUUCAUAAUUAAUAUUUCCAAUAUCUCACUGUUAGUAAAAUAUGGAACAGGAAAAGUAUGAAUAAAAUACACACAUGUUUUAUUUAGCAAAAUUUUGACAAGAUACAACUGAAAAGUUUGGCCACUAUAUAAUAUUUUGAUAUAAUUUCUACACUUCUUCUCAAAAGAUUAGAUCACUUCACAUCUUGUGUAUGUGAAAACUAAUGUAAAAAGUUGAAACUUUAUCGUAAAACCUCGACAAAAAUGAGCUCUACUAGAAAAUGUUCAAUUUGGAUUCGUUGAUUUAAAUGGCAAUUUGACACUUGAUAGAAAUUUUUACAUACAUGUGUUAGUGUUUGAUCACUUCACAUGUUACUUACUAUAUUUAUUCCACUCAAGUUAGGUAAAUAUUAUUAUCAAACAUUUCAAUUAAUUUGUGAUUUUUUUAUUAUUUAAUCAAUUAUGAAUUAAUGGAUUCUUCUUGUUGUUUUGAAGACCAAUAAAAAAAAAAGGGUAAGGAUGGCUUAUAACUCUGAUAAAACAACAGUGACGUGGACAGCAGAUGUUACACCGUACUGAAGAUUUUUGAAGAUUCUUUAUUUGGGUUUCUUUCAAGAUGAAAACCAUAUUAUCCACAACCACAAUGAAGAAGACAGAAAAUGGAGUAAUUCAGAUGUUACCAGCCAUCCACGACAAACUGAAGUCUGCAAAGCAUUCGUAAUCUAAAGGGAGACUUUGGAAAAGCCCAAAGGAGAGAGAAAAUUUUUAAAAGAAGCAAAAAUGGACAAAAUUGCCCUUAUUUAUUUUUUGAUUUCCUAAGAAAUCCUUUACAUUUGCAUGUCUUUGGUUUGAAAGUUGAGAGGUUAUUCUGUCUUUUUUCAAAAAGCUUUGGCUUUUUCCAAAAGUGAAAGUUUUUUUAUGGGUAAAACCUAAAUUUACUUAAUCCCUAAAAAGGAUGGGGAGGCUGCGCAAUACUUAGCCACGUGUAGGCCAGGAGGCUUUCCAAUUUUAAUAUAUAUAUAAAUUGAAAAAAUAAAAUAAAAAUCAAUCUAUUAUCCUAUAUAAAAUAAAGAUUAUUGCUUCCAUGGGCAGUGCUAUGCACAGGACAGUGCCUGCCCAGCACAAAUUUUUUUUAAAUAAAAAAAAAAAAUCUACAUAUGUUAUAAGCUCAUCCAAAAAAAUAAAAUAAAAUAAAAGUAAAUUCUACAUAUAUGUUGCCCAUCUAGGUGGUUCCAUAUCUUCUCUCUCCUUCUCUUUUGGCUAUUAGACUUCUUGUUUCUCUCUCUCUCUUUGCUACCUCACAUCAGCAAGUUUCUCCCUCUCUUUUUUUGGGGUCAAAUUCUUCCUCUAUUGACAAAAUCUUCUAUUAUCUUGGGUGGGCAACUUGGCAACAACAUCUUCUCUUCUCCUUUUGUCAACAACAAGUAUUAUUCUCAUUCUCUCAUUUGCUAUAUAUCUUUAAUUAUAGUUUUAAUUUAAAAUUGAGUAUUCUAGGGUUUAAUUAGGGAUGAAUUAUAAUUUUAGAAUUUUGUUGAAAUUAAUUAAGGCUUCGAUUAGGGGUGAAUUAUUCUACUGCUUUGGUUUGGAAUUUUGUUAAAAUUGAGUAUUAUAGGGUUUAAUUAUGGAUGAAUUAUAAUUUUUGAUUUUGGUAUUAUUGAGAUGUUAUUAUGAGAAUUUGUUUCAUUUUUUUAUUGGUAUAUUUGAUUAAAAUUCUUUCUACAUAUUAUUCAUAGGCUAUCUUUUAUUAUGUCGGAUCACAAUCGGAAUCCCAAGAGAACAAAGAAUUUGAAUAGUGUUGUUUUGUAUUGCAUUGCAUUUACUUUUGGUUUUAGUUUUGCUUUUAGUGUAAAUUACUCAAAUGGUCCUCAAAUUUGUACCCGAUUUACAUUUUGGUCCAUAAACUAAAUUAUUCAUUCAAAUGGUGCACCAACUCUUUAUUAAUCAGUGCUUUGGUCCUACCGUUAUGUUUUCUAUUAAAUUUAGUCAUGUGAGCAGCACAUGCUACAUUUGUAGGGGUAAAUAAGACUUUUGACCACUUUAUCACCUAUGUAUCACCACUUUAUAACCUAUUUGGAGAACAUAGGUCAGUUAUGGACGGUUUUACAAUUAUAUUUGACGGCAACAUUAACAUAAUGUAACAGUGGGAUCAAUGGAGCGAUUAAUAUAGAGUUGAUGGACCGUUUGAACGAAUAAUUUAAUUGAGGGACCAAAACGUAAAUUGAGUAUAAGUUUGAGGACCAUUUGAGUAAUGUACCCUUCGCUUUUAUAUUUGUUGAACUUUUAUUUAUGGAUAGAUAUGCAUUUGAGGGUAAGACCCAUUAUGUUCCCCCUGACUUGGUGUAUCUUUUUAUGUUUAUUAAUGAAAUUCACUCGAACUGUUGAGUUUAGUAUGUAAGUUUUGCCUAACCGGCUUUUGAAUCCUAGAACCGCCACUGUUGCUCCAUCCUCCAUGCACUUGCAUGUGCUCUUACAAAGUGUGAAGUAGAUUUUGUGUGCUCCAAGUCAUUGACUAGAGCUGAAACAUGGUUAGCUAGAUUUAUAAGGACCCAUCUCUCUAUUUCCUAGACAUAUACCCAUCUCUCUAUAAAUCUAUAUGUAAAACUCAAUUUCAAACUUAAAUGACCAGUAAGAUAUAAGAGGUCAUAGUAUUCCUAUGUUUUUACAUCGUUGCCACCAGACUUCUUAUUUUAUUUAUAAUUUAUUUCAAGCAUUUCAUUAACUGCCAUAAUUGUAAUUAAUACUCCAUAUUAAUAGCAUAUCAAUCACCCCAUUUCUUUUGAUUGCCAUUCCCUCUAACAUAUCGCCCCUUAAAAUUGAAAACCAAAAAAAAAAAAAAUGUAAAUUACAUAUCCAAUAAUGUACCUAUGAAAAAUAUAAAUAUAAAUAUAUACGUAUAAAAAUAUAGGUUUAUUAUUUACCAAAUAAAAAAUAUAAAAAAACUAGGUCAGUUGCUUUGUAAUUGAAAUUUCUAUACAUUUUCCACAAAUUAAAAAUAGGUACACAAUAAUUUAUAGAAAAUAUAGGUGCAUUAUUUAUCCAUAGGUAAAAAUACCUAUAAAUGCACAUAGGUAAAUUAUUUACCCAUAUAUUAUUUUUUUGCUAAGGAUUUACCUUAGUUUUUAGUAGAUUAAUUUACCUACCUAGAGGCAUAGGUAGCUUAAAAAAAUUGUAGCACCUUAGUUGGUUGCAUACUAAUUUACCUACCUAGAGGCAUAGGUUGCUAAGAAAAAAUGUAGGUAAAUUCAUGUACCUAAACACAUAGGGGUCAAAUAGAGAAUAACAUGUUAUUUCCCUUCGAACAAAUUAAUUUCAAACCAUAACAAUAAUUGAAUUCGGAAAUUGGUAUAAAUAAAAGGAAAUAAAUAAGCUAUCAAUUUGAAAAUUAAAAUAAGAAAUGAUCAAGUAGUCAUAUUUGAAAAAAAAGAAAAGAAUAUAUUCUUGGUUUUUAUAGGAACAACGUGUAUAUUCAAACCAAAUGGCAGUAACUACACCAAGCUUUAAUUACUUUUUUUUAAGGCCAAAAGUCACUUUUGGUCUCUGUAGUUUGACACUUCUAUUACUUUUGACGCUGUAGUUUCAAUUCCGUCAAUUUUGCCAUUGUAGUUUCAUAUUUGUAGCAAUUCAAGGACAUGUUAAUAUUAAUGUCAAUUUGUUUAAUGAUGCAAGGGGUAAUUUCGUCAUCCCAAAAUCCUUGAGCAUAAAAGCUUGUCUGAAAUUCUCCCCAUUUCAUAUUAGGGCUCGAAAUUCAACCACUAAUCCCAAUUUUUGAAGAACCCUAUACCCAAAUGACCAAUUUCAAGCCCUAAUAACAAAUUAGGGAAGUUUUAGAUGAGCUUUUAUGCUCAAGGAUUUUGAGUUGAAGAAAUUGCCCCUUGCACUGUCAAAGAAAUUGAUAGGAAUACUGACUUGUCCUUGAAUUGCUACAAAUACAAAAAUACAGGGUCAAAAUUAACAGAAUUUAAACUAUAUGGUCAAAAGUGGUUAAAGUGCCAAACUACAAGGACCAAAAGUGACUUUUAGCCUUUUUGUUUAAAUAAGGAAAAAACUUACCUAUUAAAUCCUUGGAAUCUAUACAAAAUUGAAACACAGUUAAUCAGCAUUGAAUUGCAGCUAAUUUCUUAAACAAGGGUAUUAUAGGAAUUUAAAAAGUAUAACAUUUAAUCCAUUGAGCUUGAUUAGGAAUCUUGAUGAGUUGGAUCCUAGUUAUAUAGUUUCUCUUAUAAAAAUCGGGUUUUAUUUAUAGACAAAUAAAACAAUGGGUUGUAGGUAAGAAAAUAUUAAUUUGAAGGGAAAGUGUCACAUCCUGGGAUCGGCUCCGCCGUAGCACGAUAUUGUCCGCUUUGGGCCCCCCUCUCUGCCCGCACGGUUUUGUUUCUGGGAGCUCACGAGCAACUUCCCAGUGGGUCACCCAUCCUGGGAUUGCUCUGGCCCCCAACUCGCUUAACUUCGGAAUUCCUAUGACUCCGAAGCCAGUGAGCUCCCAAAAGGCCUCGUGCUAGAUGGAUGCGGGUGUGUACAUAUAAGACACAUCACCCCCUCUCCGUUGGUUGAUGUGGGAUCUUACAGAAAGAGUCAAAUUUACUAAAUUAAUAAAGCAUAAAUUGGAAAGGGAAAAGAUCUAGAGGAUGCAUUGUAGGAUUGCUCAUGCCAAUAAUUGCACCCUCUCGAUAUUGAAAAACCUAUUGUGUAUUAUUAUCUUCAAUCAUGAAUGAUGCACCUAAAACCCAAGUGUCCCAAGCCAACCAUUGCGCUCAUACCACUUGUUGCAGUACACAUUCACCCGUUUUUAAAGAAAGAAAUUCUACCAAUCGAUAUUGUCUCAAAUUUAAUCACAUAGGUCUAUUAUGGUUAACCAUAUGUACUUUUAUCGGCCAUAUAGAGGUACCUUUUUCCAACGUGCAACAAUUGUAUUUGAUUCACAAUUAUGUCUGAUAUACAUCACAUCAUGCCACUUGCCUCAAAUGAAUUUAAUUGAGUGAGGCAAUGGGAAGUAAUUAAGCUCUAUAUUGGUGGGUGGAGUGUUACUUCUGGAACCCUCAUCAUUCGUCCAUACAAGGGAACAAUUCCCUUCCUUCUAUAAAAUGGUGAAGCCAGUUGCUAUUGUUUGUUAGAGUUUUAGGAUCUGAGUGUUAGAUUUUGUGAGAAGAGAGAAGAGAAUUUAGUGAAAACUUCCAAUACUGCUCUGCUAUACGUGUAGCAGAGAGAACAUUCUGUUUUGUUAUAUAUUUUCAGUACAACAACACACACUUGGUGUGAGAAGAAAAAUGACUGUUAUGCACAGUACCAGCUGGAUGCUUUCCAUCAAAGUAAUCUCAGCCAUUCACUAUCUAACCAAUCAAGCUAUGACACCUGGACUAAGUAUAAAGAAAUACAACUAAGCAGAAAACAAGACUCUUAAUCCUGAAAUCAACUUAAGCACUUAUAAUUCAACACUCCCCUUUAAGUCUUGAGGUGAUUUCACUCCAAGCAUGCCUCUGAGAUAAUUGAAUCUGUCUUUGGCCAGAGGUUUGGUAAAAAUGUCAGCCAAUUGUUCAUUUGUAGGACAAUAUUCCAGAUUGAUUACCCCUUCUUGCAAUGCAUCCUUGAUGAAGUGAUACCUCCUGUCAAUAUGCUUUGUCUUCUGGUGGAAUACAGGGUUUUUAGUGAUUGCAAUUGCUGAGAUAUUAUCACAAUGCAAUGGAGUAGCUUCAGUUUGAAGCUCUCUAAAGUCUUCUAGCACAAAACGGAGCCAAAUAGCUUGAGUAGUAGCCUCAGCUGCACUGAUGUACUCAGCUUCUGCAGUAGACAGUGCAACACAGUUCUGUUUCACUGAGGCCCAAGAAAAUACUCCACUUCCAAAACUAAACGCAUACCCUGAUGUGCUCUUGCAAUCACCAACUGAUCCUCCCCAAUCACUGUCACAGUAACCAACUAGAAUUGAUCUUUUGCCUUUCACAUAUUCAAGACCAUAGUCCAGAGUUCCUUUGAUGUAUCUCAAAACCCUUUUAGCUGUUCCAUAGUGUCUAUUUGUAGGACAGUGCAUGAAUCUAGCUAGCAAGCUUGAGGCAUACAUGAUGUCUGGUCUUGUAGCAGUUAAGUACAGCAAGCUACCAACAAUGCUUCUGUAUUGUUCUUCAUUUGCAGCUCAACUCCCAUCAUCCUUAGCUAGUUUCUCAGUGGCAACAAGGGGUGUUGUCACAGGUUUGCACUCAGUCAAACCAAACUUGCUCAACAAGGUGCUAGCAUAUUUCUUUUGAUGUAGAAAUAUACUAGACUCAGUCUGAAUAACUCCCAUGCCAAGAAAGUGAUGAAGUAAGCCCAAAUCAGUCAUCUCAUACUUAGCCAUCAUGUCUUCUUUGAAUUCAGCCAACAAUGCUUGACUGCUCCCUGUAUACACAAUAUCGUCUACAUAGAUAGACACAAUUAGAAUCUCCUUAUCUCCCCUUACUUUGGUAUAUAAGGUUGUUUCACUUAAGCUUUUCACAAAACCACAUUGAGUGAAGUAGCUGUCUAUCUCUCCAUACCAAGCCCUUGGGGCUUGCUUCAGACCAUAAAGGGCUUUAUGCAAACGAUAAACCUUGUCUUCUUUACCUUUAAUUACAAAACCUUCAGGCUGACUGACAUAAACUUCCUCUUGCAGCACACCAUUAAGGAAAGCAGACUUCACAUCAAGCUGGAACAAUUUCCAAUCCUUUUGAGCAGCUAGAGCAAUAAGUGUUCUAAUGGUGUCCAAUCUGGCUAUAGGUGCAUAAGUCUCAUUAUAAUCCAGUCCAGGCUUCUGAGCAUACCCCUUAGCCACUAAUCUUGCUUUAUUCUUUUGCACUGAGCCAUCCAAAUUCAGCUUUGUCUUGUACACCCACUUAACUCCAAUCACUGGUUUUUCAGUUAGUCUAUCUACCAAUUCCCAUGUUUCAUUCUUUUCAAUCAUCUGCAGUUCAUCUUCCAUAGCCUUAAGCCAAGAUUCAUCCUGAGCAACAUCAGCAUAUUUUUCUGGUUCCAUGAUACACAAGUUACACUGAGCUAGAACAUCAUCUAGCCUUCUCCAUUUUAGAGGGGUGUGAUCAUAAGCUUGAGUUCUCCUUUCUUCACUGCUUAUAUCACCUGGAGUUGAUGAAAUGCUCUCUUGCAUAUCCAAAGUUUGAGGUGUACCAGUAGAAUUCUCAUUAGAACUGUCAGAUUUCAAGUCCAAAUCAACUUGGUUUUCAAUUGAGUAUGUUGUCAUAACUGAACCAUUUUUGUUUGUCCAAUGCCAAGCAUUUUCUUCAUCAAAUGUCACAUCCCUUGAUAGUAAAAGCUUGUUAGAAACAGGAUCAAAAACUCUAUAUCCUUUUUCACAAGUUGCAUAUCCCACAAACACUCCCUUUGUACUCUUAGGAUCCCGCUUGUGUCUCAAUUCAGUUGGCACAUGAACAUAACACAGAGAACCAAACACUUUCAGAUGUGCAAUUCCAGGCUUCCUUCCACUAUAUGCUUCGAAUGGAGUAAUGUUGUUGAGAGCUUUGGUAGGACAUCUGUUCAGCAAAUAGAUAGCUGUAUGCACAGCUUCUGCCCAUAGGAAAUAAGGCAUUCCCUUCUCAUGUAACAUUGAUUUUGCCAUCUCAAUGACAGUUCUAUUCUUCCUCUCAACUACUCCAUUCUGCUGAGGAGUAUAGGCCAUUGUAAGCUGCCUUUGAAUGCCAUUAGCUUCACAAAACUCCAAAAAAUCAGUAGACAUAAACUCUCCACCCCUGUCACUUCUUAUGCACUGAACCUUGUGUCCAGUUUGUAAUUCAGUCAUGGACUUGAACUUCUUGAAACAAAAGAAGGCUUUUGACUUGUUUCUCAAGAAGUAUACCCAAAUCAUUCUUGUGAAAUCAUCUAUAAUCAGCAUGAAAUAUCUGUUCCUUGCAACAGACUCAUUUCUCAUGGGACCACAGAGAUCCACAUGUAUUAGCACUAGUACUUUGCUUGCUCUUUGAGCUUGAUCUUUUGGAAAAACAUUUCUGUGCUGUUUUCCAAAUUGGCACCCGUCACACACACCACUUUGUUCUUCCAAUUUUGGUAAACCAUGUACCAUUUCUUUAUCACUUAGCUGCUUCAAUCCUCCAAAAUGCAGAUGACCAAAUCUCUUGUGCCAAAUCCAUGUGGAUUGAAGAAAACUAGUCUUCAUUAGUAACUGUUUUUCAGCUAGAAAAGAGACAGGAUAGCAUCUGUUACUCUUCAUUUGCACCUUUAUGAUGAGAUAAUCCAUGGAUGGGCUAUCAAAUACCCUGCACAUCCCUUCUCCAAACACUAGACAGUACCCAUGUUCAUCCAUCUGCCCAACACUUAGCAGAUUUUCUUUCAAUCCUGGCAGAUACAUUACUUCUCUGAUGUAUUUCCUGCCCUUUGCUGUAUCAAUACUCAGUGAGCCAAUACCAGCUACACUCACUAAUGCACCAGUUGGCAUUUGUACUCUCCCAGCUACAUUAGUUCUCACAUCAACCAGCAAAUCUAAAUUUCCUGUCAUAUGAUUGCUGCAGCCACUGUCAAUGUACCAUUCAUUGGUUUUGAUCUCAGUGGUUGAGCAAUUGGCAUAAAACAGGUUUCCUGUAACCUCCAUUUGAUUUACACAAUUAGCCUUCUGCACAUUUUUGCUCACUGUACAGUCUCUAGCAAGAUGUCCAACUCUGUCACAGUUAUAGCAUUUUGGUUUUCCCUUAUACCUGCACUCACCAAAAUGAUGCUUUGAACACACCUUGCAUUGAGGCUUUGUGUUUUCCUGAUUUGAGAACUGUGUUGAAGUGUGGUUCUGUGCAGAAUAAUUAUUCUGCUGUGUCUUGUCUUUUGCCUCCCAUGACUUCCCUUUAGAGUUCCAGCUUCUCUGUGACUUAGAUGAACCAGACUGAGAAGCAUUUUUGUUCUGACCCUUUGAAUUCACAGUGAAUGAGGCAAAUGCCUUCUCAGCUGUAUCAACACUAUGCAUUUCAAGCCUUUGCUCCCGACUCUUCAAAAUGGCAGUUACUUCCUGCAAAUCCACAGUUUCUAGUGUCUUUGUGUUUUCAAUCACAAUGCAUAUAGGGUCAUACUUCUUACUUAGACUAAUUAACACCUUCUGAACCUACCUCUCAUUUGACAGAACUUCACCAAAUGUUUUCAUUUGGUUAAUCAAUUCAGUUAGUCUAGUAAGAUAUUCAGAUAAGGUUUCACUAUCACGCAUCCUACUGUAUUCAAACUCACGUCUAAGGUUUUGAAGCUUUACCGAUCUAACAUGCUCUCCACCAUGAUAUUCUGAGUACAGCAGAUUCCAAGCCAUCUUUGCAGAGUCAGCAUUGGCAAUUCUGGGAAAAAUCUGAUCAGAAACAGCAUUUUGAAUGAUACCCAAGGCCUUCGCAUCCUUCAUGAGAAUCGCAGCUGUUUUCUCAUCAACUUCUUCUUCUGAACCAUCCUCAGAUUCCUGCUUCGUCUUUGAAUCUGGGAUUAAAAACCCCUUCUCUACCAAACCCCAUAAACCAUAUGAUCUGAAUAUGGUUACCAUCUUAAUCCUCCAAAAUUCAUAGUUCUCACCUGAGAAAAUGGGGAUUCUAGCCUCUGAACUUCCAGAUCCAGCCAUUACGAAUUUCAGAUUCGCCUGGAAACAAGAUGUUUUCAGAUUUGACCCUUGAUCGAGCUCAAUCAGCUUCGUGAGCUUAGAAUGAGCUCACCUCGAUCGAUUUUCUUCACAGAACAACGCCCAGCUUCAGAUAAUCAAACUUGGCUCUGAGGCCAUGUUAGAGUUUUAGGAUCUGAGUGUUAGAUAUUGUGAGAAGAGAGAAGAGAAUUUAGUGAAAAUUUCCAAUACUGCUCUGCUAUACGUGUAGCAGAGAGAACAUUCUCUUUUGCUAUAUAUUUUCAGUACAACAACACACACUUGGUGUGAGAAGAAAAAUGACUGUUAUGCACAGUACCAGCUGGAUGCUUUCCAUCAAAGUAAUCUCAGCCAUUCACUAUCUAACCAAUCAAGCUAUGACACCUGGACUAAGUAUAAAGAAAUACAACUAAGCAGAAAACAAGACUCUUAAUCCUGAAAUCAACUUAAGCACUUAUAAUUCAACAUUGUUACCAUAAGAGCCAGCUCCGACUUUCUUUAAUUUCAGUCCUAACGGGGUUUCAUCUUCCACUCAUCUUUGCUCUUCUCAGUGUAAGCUCUGCAAUUUGAUUAACUUUCCCAUUAUCUCUCACUGUACUCUAUAUAAAGGAAUAAGUGUCGUCCACUAAUUAAUUACACUUUGUGAGAUUUGAUUUUAAUUAGAGUUCGAAUUGAUGUUGCAGCUAGCAGCGGUGGCACUGGCAAACCAUGCUGCUCAACCAGCACCUCAACUUUACUGGAACUCCGUCCUGCCAAACACACAAAUGCCAAGAGCUAUCAGUGAACUUCUGCAUCCUGGUUUGUGUUGAAUAAAUAUAGUAUGUUACUGGAGUACGUAUGGCAACAUAUUCACAAAUGUGUCACGUAUUUUCCAAUAUGACGUUGAUAUAUAAUUGCAGACUCCACAAACGAAGAAAAGAGCACAAAUGUCAUGAAUGCUGUUGGGAAUGGAAAGCCAAUUGACCACAAGGGCAACCUGAAAAUACUGUACUACCACAGCUUGCACGACGCCCAUUUUCUUACAAGAGUGAUGAUCGUCCCACUGACAAUCAACUCCAUUAUAAAAACGUAGCUAUUUUCUUCUUGGAGAAGGACAUGCGCCCUGGCACAACAAUGAGCUUCCAAUUCCCUAGAAAUUCAAACACGGCUACUUUCCUGCCACCAGAAAGAGCUCAAUCGAUCCCCUUCUCCUCUAACAAACUACCAGAAAUUUUCAACCAUUUUUCAGUGAAGCCAACAUCUGUGGAAGCCAAAACAAUUAAGCAAACAAUCGAAGAGUGUGAGGCUCCAGGCAUUAAGGGAGAGGAAAUAUAUUGCGCCACAUCUUUAGAAUCAAUGGUUGAUUUUAGCACUUCGAAUUUUCGAACAAGAAACGUUCAAGCAAUCUCGACAGAGGUAUUGGAAAAAGGUGCCACCAUGUCCAUGCACAAGCAUACAACAAUGCCGGGACUGAAGAAGUUGGCAGGUGACAAAGUCGUUGUGUGUCAUAAGCAGAACUAUCCCUAUGCUGUGUUUUACUGCCAUGUAAUAAAACCAACAGCAGCUUAUGUUCUCUCCCUGAAAGGCGAUGAUGGGGUGAAGAUUAAAGCAGUAGCCAUCUGCCAUCUAGACACAUCAGAAUGGAACCCAAAGCAUUUGGCCUUCCAAAUCCUCAAAGUUAAGCCCGGAACAAUUCCCAUCUGCCAUUUCCUUCCCACUGAUCAUAGUGUCUGGGUUCCGAACCACAAAUCUGCAUGAUCAUCACUUAGCACUGUACGUAUAAUAAGCUUGCACCCCUGUAUAAUUAUCUCCCUACUCUACUUAUUUCUGCCUCUUCAUGUGGUGUAAGAUAUAUGAUGAGAUGAAGUUUUUGGGAUUAGUGGUCGGGUUGCCUUAAAAACACAGAUUACAGAAACUGCUUGAACUUAACCCGAUCAUGUUUUCUCUUGUACUCGUAAAGCAUGCUGUUGUGGUUCUACUUAAUUUCGUUCUCCCCAAUGUUUGAGUGUUUAAUUGUUACGUUGGAUAAUGCUUGUAGUUAGAGAAGCCUUCAUUUAUAUCAAAGUCCUCAACUUGUAAAGAUAUCAAUGGUCCUAGUGCUGCCACGUGUAAGAAGAUUGAAGAAUAAAGCUGUUGAGAUAUUGUUAGACCUGUUAUGCAGUUUAGGAAAACUGUUAGUAUUGAUAAGAGAAGGUUAGAGAUGUUAGAGAGGUUAGAAAACACGUGAACAAGGCUUUAACUCAGCUGAUAUAAAGUCUGUAGUUGUGCUCAGUUGAACUUAAUGAGAAAUACAACAAGUCUCUUCUCUAUCUCUGAAAUUCUCUCUGCUCUCUCUGCUUUACUUCUUUUGUCUCUGCUCUACAUUUUUUUUCAAUCUUCCUAUCUUAACAAAACUAUCAAGAAUUAAUGCAUCCAGAAACAUAUAUACCAAGACGCAAAACAACAUAUUUUUCAUGCUCUGUCUGUAACACCAAAGCAAACUUCCUUUAUCACAAAAGGAUCAAAUUCCAGUACUAAUCUAAUCCAUCAUGUAAAGCAUACAAUCUACAAGUGCCUCCCUUAAUUUGUCCAUUGGAUAUAUAUGUCACUUUUUGGUAAUUUGGUAUAGCAGCACCACGUAGUCUUGAAAUAGUAGUGCGGCUAUACCAAAUAUACCAUUUGCCCCUGCAUUUAACAGAAAAGUAAACAAAAUUGACGGUAGAACUAUUUGUCCUAACGAAACUGCAGUUGAAAGACCAUGAGAACGAUUUUGAAAAUUGAGGGACUCAAAUGAAAAUUGGGUCUAAGUUCAAGAACCAAUAAAACGAUUAACCCAUAGAUUUUGGAUCCAGUACCACAUCCCAAAGAGAAAACCACAAGUUUGCAAGCAAGUUUGUCCAUAAUAACACUACGUACAGUAUGGGCAGUGCGCUAGACUCAUCUCACUUUCUCAACCUAUCCUAUAGUUGUCUAAAAGAGUUUCUAAUUUAAUGUACUGAGAUUUACGAAAGAAAUAUCAGAGAAACAAUUUUCAGGCAAUAAAAAAAUGUCUUGGCAAGAAAAUGUACAAUUUGUUACAUAACUUAUUAAAUAUGAACAGUUGAAAGAAAAAAGAAUCUGGAUGAGGGAUUUGCAAAUUCCUAUGGCCCAAUUACCUUUUUUUCUUUGUUGUUUUUUUUUUUUUUUUUUUGGUUCUUUUGAUCCAGUAGCAUAUUCCAAAGAAUGAAAACCACAGGCAUGCAAUGCAAGCUCUUUUCCCACGUUUUCCUCUGUUUUUCUCCUAUCAUGGAAGUGAUUAAAACACACCUCUAAGCUUGUUUUGCGUUUGGUAGCCGAGUGUAAAAGCUCAAUGCAAGAUAGUUUGAGGUAGAAUUUUCUCCUAUUUUAUUAGGACAAUGAUAAUUAAAAAAAAGUGUGAUUCAUUGAAUAUUUGCGGGGUUUUGUUCAGACCUGACAAAGUUCUAAGUCAACACAUCAAAUUCCUUUUUCCAACAUGCAACAAUUGUAUUUGAUUCCCAAUUUUUUCUGAUAUACAUCACAUCAUGCCACUUGCAUCAAAUGAAUUUAAUUGAGUGAGGCAAUGGGAAGUAAUUAAGCUCUGUAUUCGUGGGUGGAGUGUUACUUCUGGAACCCUAAUAAUUCGUCCCUACAGGACUCUAGAACUCUCAAACUUCUUACAAGGACUACUUAACUCUAUAGCUUAAUGCAUAUAGCAUAUAUAUGCAAACACAAUUAGAAAUUCUACAACAGAAGCAAGAUCAAUCUCACUAUGCCUUCUAAACAAACAAACAAAUAAAACAAGCAUAUUAAUUGCUUUAAUCACUCUACUAACAUCAACACAGCACACUUAGUUUACUAACAGAUGAUAUAGAAAGGAAAAAAAAGGACCAAUAGGGAGAAAAUGGUGAACUAAGGAGAGACUAAUACUUCUGGUCCUUAGAAGGCAUAACAGAAAUAAUAGAGCACACUGCUUGAAUGCAAGUCAGUAUUAGGAGCAAAACAGCUGCAAUGAAAGAAAUAGUUGCCCAAGGUGUAUUGAAAUAAUGUUGCCUCAAAUUUGCCUUCCAUUUGUUCCAAGGCUUUCUGCAGUAGCUAUUAAGGCGCUCAGAAAGAAUAGCAAAGUAGAAGCUUUCACGAUACACUGCAAUUCCUUUUCCGAGGUUGUUAAUCAGAGUGCACACCUCAUUGUAGUCACCAAGCAUAUUUUUGACAAUCCCAUCCUUCAGAAGGAACUCCACAUCCUUUUCGGUGUUCACAAACUCAUCCAUGAGUGAAACAUAAUCACUUAUGUAAUUCUUACGGCAAUGGCACUAUUCAAAGGCAAUGAGGUUACGGAGUGUGAGCUCUGUGUAAUCGUGUAUUUUUAGUUUUGGAAUUUCUAGAAUCCCAUCGUUGAAUUGUGUUAACGCAGCUUUCCUUUCCUAGCCUACACGGAAGUCAACUUCACAAUCUCCUCCUAGCAAUUAGUCUUUCCUGCUGUAAAUCAGAUUUCCUACUGUAAAUCGGAUUGUAUUCAUGUCUAUAUUAUUUCCUACUUUAAGUAGAUAUCUUGUACUAGUAUAAAUAGGGACUUUGUGUAAUCUGUUAAAUACAAGGAAAUAUAUACUCUGCAUGGUAUCAGCCUAACCUAGGGUUCUCUCUCUCUCCCUUAUUCGAUCCUCUUCUCCUUUAGGUCCACCUCAUGGCUUUGUCUGAAUCCACCAUCUCCCUCCCAAGCCCCAACUCUUCUAUUUUAUCAAGCUUAUUGACUCCAACUAUCUUCUUUGGCUCCGCCAACUCAAACCCUUUUUAGUCGGCCAUGACCUCUGGAAAUUUAUCGAUGGCAUUCAUAAACAACCUUCUGCCCACACCUCCACCUCUACCACCGCAACACCCACAACCACCACCACUCUUACCCAAAUCAAUCAUGCCCAUGCUCAGUGGUACCAACAAGACCAACUCAUUGUUAGCUACAUCACCAAUACACUCUCUGAGUCCAUUCUCUUUCUCACUGUUGGUUGCACCUCUGCCCGGGAUCUCUGGGAGUGUCUCCAACGCCACUUCUCUCAAUCCAGUAUGGCCAGUGAAUCUACUCUUCGUUUUAAACUCAUGGAUUUGCAAAAAGGCUCUGAACCCACUUAUGCUUACAUUCGUCAUGCUAAGUCCUUUGCCGAUUCACUGGCUGCCAUCAAUGAACCUGUCUCCCCAAAAGAACUUGUCACUACUGUGCUUUGGGGUUUAAGACCCUAUUGCAACAUCCUCGUCACAGCAAUUCUCAAUUUCCCUCUGCUUCCUAACUUUGCUAAUCUUCGUGCUCGUUUGUUAGCAUUUGACGCACAGACUCCUUGAAUCUCUCCUGAUCAAAACACAGCGCAAAUGGCCACCCAAUCCUCUCCUCACACCACCGGUCAUACUUCCUUCCCUUCUCACCGUGGUGGUGGCUCUUCCAACAACAGGCGUGGUGGCCUCGGUGGCUGGCGCAAUAGCGGCCGGGGUGGCUGGCGCAGCUUCUCAUCUUCCUGGAGCAACCCGUGGAAUGGCUUCCAGCAGCUCCAAUGACCUAAUCAACCAUGGCCUCCUUUUGCUCCAAGUUCUGGAUCUCAAAGCAACUGGCCUUCCUUUCAGCCUCCUUGGGCCUAAUCUGCCGCUUCUAUCAAACACUUUGCCCGGCCCAACUCAGCUCCUGGUGUCUUGGGACCCGCUUGGUGCACUACCUGCAAUACCAAUCACAUACUACUACAAUAUGUCCUCAUCGCUACAAUGGCCCAGAAUCCUUUCUUUGCUAGGGCUCAAUUCAUGUAGCCACCUGACUCUACUUGGUACCCUGACACAAGUACCACUCAUCAUAUGAUUGGUAGUCCUUCUAAUCUCCAAAAUCAAUCCUUCUAAUCUCCAAAAUCAACAGCCAUAUCAGGUUCAUAAUUCUGUAUUUCUUGGUAAUGGAGAUUCUCUCCCUAUCUCUCAUACUAGCUCUCUCUUUUGUCUUCCAUCUCUUCGUACUAAUCUUCUUUUUGUUGCCCAUUUUACUUGUGAUAAUUUAGUUUUCUUUGUCUUUACUCUUGACUUUUAUCAAAUCUAUGACUUAUGUACUGGUUCGUUACUCUUUCAGGGCCCUUCUAAAGAUGGUCUUUACCCACUUUCCAUCUCCUCUCACUCAUCCAUAGUCCCCCAUGCCCUUACCACCGUGCACUCUCCUGCUUGGCAUCAUUGCCUUGGCCAUCCAUUCCAUCGUGUGCUCUCUCAUUUAGCGCCAUCUCUAGGCUUUAAAGUUUCUCAUGCUUUCUGUAAGGAUUGUGCACUUAGCAAAUCCACCAAACUGUCAUUUCUUAGUAAUAAAACCUUUGCCCCAUCUCCCUUUUAUUUAAUUCACUCUGAUGUAUGGAUGUCCUCGGUCAUUUCUGUCACUGGUUAUCGCUAUUAUGUCUUGUUUACAGAUGACUUUUCUCGUUACUCCUGGAUCUAUCAUAUGCACCGUAAAAAUGAGGUCUUUUCUCACUUUCAAACCUUUCUUGCUAUGGUUAAAAAUCAAUUUCACACCACUGUACAAAUUCUUUAAAGUGACAAUGGCACUGAAUAUGUUAAUAAUGCUUUCUCUGAUCUUUGCAGUCAACUAGGCAUCCACCAACGUUUCACAUGUCCCCACACUCCCCAACAAAAUGGCCUAGCUGAACAUAAACACAGACACAUUGCCACCAUGAUCUGUCCCCGGUCAUUUAUUCAACCAUCUUGACCUUUUGCUUGAUCAUUUUCCACAAGCAACCGUCCACGUACCCCAAUAAUUUAAAAGGGCUGAUGAUCUUUAAUUUGGUGAAAGCUUCUAUCUACCUACCGUGCUAUAUAUGAGCUAUGCAAUCGUGACCGUGUUACAUGACGUCCCAAUGUCGUAGGGAUAAAAAAAUAAUAGUCAUGGUUUUCUUAUUAAUGUCAAUACAUUCAUAGCAAAGAGCUUGUAGCUCUAGUGGUUAAGAGCAAUUACCCAUGCACUUGAGAUAUUUUGUGUUUAAAUCCCCUCUUCCCCAAUAUUUCUUGUAUAAAAAUAAAAAUAACAAUAAUAAUGACAUUAAUGUUGUAUUCUAUAAAGUGUUGGACAUGUUUUAUACCCCUUUCUUGCAAAUUACAGUUUGCCACGUGUACAAAAAUAAUAGAUAAGUGUUGGACAUCAAGAGCACUUACAUAUAGGUUUAAUAGGUAAGUUUUGAAUAUUUCUGUAUUUAGCUUUAAAUAUUGAAAAUCAACCUAUUAGCAUAUUAAAGAUUUGUCCAUAUUCGACGUACAUUCUCUUAUUUUUCUCUCAUUGAAGUAAAUACAAAACUAAGCACAUAGUGGGAAAGUGCGUCACGAUUAGGGGUGGGUUUAGUCUAGGUUGGUUCAUUUUUGGGCUCAAUUUGAACACCGAACUGUAAGCUUCGGUUUGGCUAUUUUGGAAACCGAAACCAAACCAUAAUUGAUGAAAACCGACCACUUCGAUUACCUUCUGGUCUUCCAACCAGAAGAAAACUCAAAACUUUAACCAUACCAAGUGCAACAGAAUUACACCAGGCUGGAUUCAAGUUUAUGAUGGUUAAAGAUAAAAACUUAUUUGACAUACAAUUUGAGAAUGGAAUCCUCAAAAUUCCACACCUGCGAAUACGGGGUUUAACAGAAAUUUUCUUCCGCAAUCUUAUUGCCUAUGAGCAGUGUGAGCUUCAUGAUCAUUACAUCAACGACUAUGUCUUCAUCAUGGACCGCCUGGUCGACAGUGCCAGGGAUGUGGAAUUGCUUGUGAAGAGUGGAAUUCUUGAAUCUAUGCUACCGGACAGCGAGGCAGCAGGGGAAUUUAUUAAUUCUCUUGACUUGGGGCCUAUUUUAGGCAAGCUUGAAACAAGACUAUUUCAGUUCACCAUGGGCUGGCCUGUCUAUUAUUGUAGCCGCUAUACUAGUUGUGCUCACAUUUAUUCAAACAGUGUGCUCCGUAAUGGCGCUGUAGGUUCUUCAUUUCCUCAAUUUCAUGUUUAGUGGUUGCAGAUUUGUUGCUCAUGUACGUGUUUAUCUAAAGUUAAAUAAGAGUGAUUGACUGGAUUGACUGUUAGUCUGUUAGUUUGUUUUUCUGGGGUUUUUCCCCCCUGUUCGUCAAAAAAAAAAAUAAAAGAGUGAUGGCUUGUGCCUAUGAAAAUUACUUAGGAGUAUGCUCCACAGAGCCAAAAUAAAUAAACUAGGGAAGUGGAGGUUCUUCUGUUUGUAUAUAAAUGAGCAAUUCAAACUCUCAGUGCCAAGGGAGUUACCCUUGAUACAUUUGUUAAAAAUUAUAUAUUUGGUCUUACAUCAAACAAAUAAUUUGAAGGGCUUUUUUGACAACUGCUGACAGCGUUUGGCAGAAAAGUUUAGAAGCGCUUCUACGCUUCUAGAUCAUAAAAGUGCUUUACCAAAAAGCACUUAGAUUUCUUAUGAAAAUUUCAACAUUUUUAUAAUAAAAGCGCUUGCUAGAAGCACUUAUAAGCAGAAGUGCUUCAUAGAGAAGCAGUCCCAAACGAGCUUGAUUUUCAAAUGUGCUGCUUAAGAAGAAAUUUAAUACGUUUUGAAAACAAAAAAAAAUACGAAAUUUAAUACGUUUGUUUUACAAAUUGUAUUAAUUGUUAUCAAUAAUACUUGUGCACACCCACAACAUACUUCUUUCUUUCUUUAUUUUCCUUCAGUACAGUUCUGCCUUUCUUUAAUUAUUUUUAACGAAUGCAAAGAGUUUGUCACAAAAUCAAGGAUUGAAAAAAAAAGAGAGUAAAUUAUGUGCUAGAGAAACUUUCCUGCAGAAAUUGAAGAACAACUCUAGUUUCUCUCUUUCGCCUUGUACUCCCGCACUGAGGUUAGUAUUGUUAUAAUGUGCAGAUUAUACGGUCACUCUUGUAUAAUGGCGAGAAGGCUCUAAUUAUAUUUUUGAACCUCUUUGACAGGACCCGCCCCGAAUUUCCCGAAACCCAAGACGAAUUCUGUGGAAAUUCCCUACAUCACCCCGAUGUUGGGCCCACUUCUAAAACUAUAUCAUUUUUCCUAAAAAGGAAUAAGGGCACGAGACUUUCUACCGAAAUUUCGGCAGAGUCUCUCCUGUAAAUUGAACAUUUCCCAAAAUUUCAACCUGCAUAAAACACAUUUUAUAUUACCCAACUGGCAGCAUGCACAAAAUAAUAACAUGCAAUUCACAUAAACGGCCUCUGGCCCUCCGGUAAUUCAGAGCAAUGCAAACUAGCAACUCUAAACCUAAUAAAACAACAUAAGUAACAUUUAGCCAGCGGCUGCACCCAGGCACUACCCUAGGCUACCUACGUACCCUUACUAAGGGAUCAAGCCACACGUAGUUCUUUCAUACAAAAUUUCCAAAUCCAUCAACAUGCAAUCAAUUACAGAAUCCCAAACAAAAUCUUUCUCAAACAUCAUUAGUUCCCAACUCAGUAUAAUAAUCCUUAAUUCAUCUCUGUAAUAAUCACAAUAUCUCCCCAUACGCCGGAACUACCAACACCACGUAUGGAGCCUGCCUGUACGCCAGAUAACCAACGACACGUGGGACCUCAUCAUCAUAUCACAUAAUCUCCCCAUACGCCGAAACUACCAACACCACGUAUGGGGUCUGUCAACACGCCGGAUAACCUACGACGUGUGACCUCAACAUCAAAUCACAAUAUCUCCCCAUACACCGGAACUACCUACGCCACGUAUGGGGUCUGUCCACAUGCCGGAUAACCUACGACACGUGGGACCUCAUCAUCAUAUCACAUAAUAUAUUAACGAUCAAGAAAUAUCACUACGGUCAUUUAAUCCUCCUGGGAAGGUAAAACUAUCUCAGGAGACUCACGGUCAACCAAGGGUCAAACUACCUCAUACUUGGACAAACGAGCCCACGGAGCCCACAACCUCCGUUUUACUAUCCAAGAGUUCCUAUAGGUUCUACAAGGUUUAGGAUACACGGCUUGCAAGUUUGGUCAAGAUCAGACGGUCGGAUCGCUCACGAUAGGACGGUUACUGCAAACCUAGCCCUAGGGUUGGCAUUUUCGGAGUAUCCGAAACUCCGUUUUACGAUCUGUCGAAUCAUAGACGAUCCUAAGGAUUUGCAGACUAACUAUAAUAAAUUCAAGACCAUCCAACGGUCUAAACCUAUCGAACCCGGAUAACGCGCAAUAGGCAAUAUCCAAAUUGAAAUCCGAGCACACCUACGCACUCGUGAGGACUAGGAGAUUACAUCGGGACAUAGUGCCCUUUUUCUACAGUGCCCAUGAGCCGCCGCACGCACCAGCAACGCGUGGGUGCCCAAAGCGAUUAUGCAUCGCCAAAAAAUCUCAAAACCACGGCUCAAGACUCCUACCCUAGGUAUAACACCCUAUUUGGAACCACUUUUGUUCUUGGACCUACCCCAAAAACUGAUCAGAAGUGGCCGGAAUGGCUGAAAUGUAAUUCAAAAAUCAAGCUACCAACGCUCAAAAUCGAUGCAAUCCUACCCAACCAUCAACUAGAUUAUGAAGAAUGGAUAAAUUUCCAUACCUUGAUCGCCAACAAUGGCGGCCGGAGGAGAGAGAUCUGAUCCGGCGAAGUUCGAGUGAAAACGGCCAAAAAUCAUCUUUUUCAGGCGGCUGGAGGGCGACCGAUGUCAGGGAAGGGCAGGGUCGUGACGCUAAGGCUGAGCCUGUCCUUUUGGCACCGGUCCCUUCCGCAGCCGUGUCCGGUGGCUGGAGUUUCGAAGAGAGAGAGAGAGAGAGAGAGAGAGAGAGAGAGAGAAAUCUGAUUUUUAUCAAACCUUUUUGCCAAAAUUACGGUUAUGCCACUGAGGGUAUUUUGAUAGUAUCUCUCUCGUUACAACUUCGAUUCGAGCCCACCACGUGUGUACGGACUCAUCUAACUGUGUUGUACGCAACGGUAUAGUCGAAAUUCCCAAAUUAUUUCCUUGUCAAAAAGUCAACUUUAAACAUUAUAAAAUAUUUUAGGGAAAAAAUGGUAUUUUCUCUCAAUAAAUUAGUAACUAAUUUAUUUAGGACUGGGUCAUUAUACUCUUUUUCGCUUCAAUGGAUGGGAAAAAAUUUUAUGUAAUAUCCCACAUCGACCAACGAAGAGGGGGCGAUGUGUCUUAUAUGUACAUGCCCGCCUCCAUCUAGCAUAAGGCCUUUUGGAAGCUCACUGGCUUCAGAGUCAUGGGAACUCCGAAGUUAAGCGAGUUGGGGGCUAGAGCAAUCCCAGGAUGAGUAACCCACUGGGAAGUUGCUCGUGAGCUUCGAGAAACAAAACCGUGAGGGCAGAGAGAGGGGCCCAAAGCGGACAAUAAGGCCUCGUGCUAGAUGGAGGCGGGCAUGUACAUAUAAGGCACAUCACUCUCUCUCCGUUGGUCGAUGUGGAAUGUUAGAAUGGAAUUGUUACCUUUGGUGUGGAGGUGUUCUAUCAUUUGAGCAAGAAAUUCCCACAUAUUCUUCAACUAUUUUUCAAGCAUGCAUAUUCCUCCCUAUCAAUCUUUGGUUUCUUCCUUUACUGUGCAUAGUAAGGAUCCAGUCAGGGACGGACCGUCGCUAUGACUAUCCUGGGCUAUAGCCCAGGCAAAUUAUUUUUUUUUCUAGUCUAAAAUAGCAAUCCCACCGCUUGCUGUAGUACUUGUUCAGUUCGUCACAAACAUGAGCAUAAUAGAAGUUAUCAACAUCUAUAUAGGAACCCCAAUGAAAAGGCUGUUAACUAAUAAUGAAGUUAACCCGUCAAUUUUUCCGCAUAUCAGAUAUCUCUCAGAAUAUGCGAUUCCAUAUUCAAUAAGCCACUCCACAUGCCCUGAGGUUUUCAUCAAACCACCCAUUAAGGAAACAUACUGACUCAUGUAAUUAUCAUUACUCAUCGGGUAAUGCAAUUGUUCAAAGGCAAGGACAUUUCUCAUUAUUUAUGUAGCGAACCCCAAUGGAAAUGGUGGGAUCUUCAGAACCCCAUCGGUGCUACUGAAUUGUAUGUCAAAUAUGUUUUCACCUUGUCACGCCUCAAACUUGACUCCAGCGUGCUGUAAUUCUGUCAAGCUGGGUAUGGAUGAUGGGAGUUUGAUGCAGGAGCAUAGGGGUGGAUCAAGAUAGAUAUUUACUAUUUAAUUAGUUAUUUCAUGAUAUAUUGUUAUUUUCUUAUUUAGGUAGUUUUAUGAUAUCUUUUAUUAUUUAUGUGUGAUUUUAUAAUUAAUUAGUAUACUUUUGGACCAAGUAGCCUUGGUGCUCAAGUCUUGUAAAGCCUAUAAAUAAGGCUAAUGUAAUAGUUGUAGAAUAGAUGUCGAUGAUUAAUAAAAUCGUUUAUUUGUGGCAUGGAUUUGCUACGAUAUAUGUGAGUUUGCACUAGCCCUAGAUUUCAGUGCUCGUGUAUGUGGUUGGUGACCUGUGUCCGGAUCCCGAUCCCCAUCAAUUGGUAUCAGAGCUAUGGCUCAAGAUCUGCUAUAUCGGGGAGGUUUUUGGAUGGAGGGUCGUUUUAACAACUACAACGACAUGGAGGAAAUUAGGAGGAUGCUACGGCAACUUAUGGAACACAUUGCUCGCAUUGAAGCUCGAACCCAGAUAGGUAAGAGUUCUGACGGGGAGGGAUGUGUGAACCCUUAUCUGAACCGAGUAGCUCGCAUCGACACUCUAAGCCGUGAGAGUCUCGACGGGGAGUACGAGGGAGAUAGCCCUUUUCAUUAUUGUGCUCCGCUGUGUGAGUCAAGUGAAGAGGGGCACGGUUAUUCUCAUUGUGUCUUUGAAGGUAUAAAUGAAUUUAGUAAUUUUGGUGCAUCUUGUUAUUCAUCAAAGUUAUUAAAUUUGGAUUUACCUCCAUUAUUUGAUCCUUGCAAUUGUGAAAAUUGCAAUAAAAAUUGUUUGGGUGUUCAAAGCAAUUUUGAUAAGCAAUUUAUUGACCAGAACAGUGAAGAGAUGAGAAUUGAGAAAACUUUCGAAGAUAUUAUUGAUUUUAUGGGCAUUAAUAUUUUCACUUGGAAGGUUGCCAAAAAUCUGGUUGAUUUUGUCAAUCGGUUGAAGAUUCUAGAGAGAAACAUUUGCAUUGCUAGAGGGAGUAAGAAGUCAAGAAUAACGAAAUAUUCCAAAUAUCUUUUUAUUUGGAAAGGAAGGUUUCAAUUGGAUGCUAAAAGAUCCAAAAUUAAUAUGCAGCAAUUGAAGAUUCUACUCGGAUUUUCCUUAAUCAAAGGCUUGAAUUCGAGGACGAAUUCUUUCCAACUAUGGGAGUCUGAUGCAGGAGCAUAGGGGUGGAUCAAGAUAGAUAUUUACUAUUUAAUUUGUUAUUUCAUGAUAUAUUGUUAUUUUCUUAUUUAGGUAGUUUUAUGAUAUCUUUUAUUAUUUAUGUGUGAUUUUAUAAUUAAUUAGUUUACUUUUGGACCAAGUAGCCUUGGUGCUCAAGUCUUGUAAAGCCUAUAAAUAAGGCUAAUGUAAUAGUUGUAGAAUAGAUGUCGAUGAUUAAUAAAAUCGUUUAUUUGUGGCAUGGAUUUGCUACAAUAUAUGUGAGUUUGCACUAACCCUUGAUUUCGGUGCUCGUGUAUGUGGUUGGUGACCUGUGUCCGGAUCCCGAUCCCCAUCAGAGUUCCCCUCCAGCUUUUGAUUCCAACGGUUGAUAGAGUUUAAAUAUUUUCCUGAAAAGAUCAAUAAUAUGUGCCACUGAUCUAAAAGUCUCCAAAUUGUCUUCCAAUUUGUCAACAGGCAAUAGAUGUUCGAAGAAACUGAAAGAAAUACAAAUUAUUGAAAGCCCCUCAGUAAUGCUGUUAUUGUCAGCAUUAGCAGGGAGUGUAAUUUUCUGUGGGUCGAAAAGAUCCUCGAGAAUGAAGAAUGGCAACUGAUUUUCAAGCAACCACGUAUCUGUCCAUGCAUCUUGCAACAUACCUGGUUUGUCAAAUAUGCGGUCAUUUUCGUCCCAAAAUUUGAAGUAGUCCUUCAAUAAGGGCUCAAUAACGAAGGCGGCGCCCACUAGAAUGAUUGUUACAAAUUCAUCACUGCUAAACUUGAUGGGUUCUCCAUAACAACGUCUCAAUCUUGCUUCGUGGUCCUUUAUUUUCUUAAUAUAAUCCUCCAAACUCACAUUGGUCCGACCUAUAAAAUCUUGCAGGUAUCUCUGUUUGUUCUCUUCCAAUACGACAUUCAAGCCUUCCUUUCCAUGGUGAAGUGGACCUAUAGAGACCGACUGCCUGAGGUGUGCAGAGCUUUUCAUUCACACAUACGUAGAUAAAAUGUCUGGGGGCUCAGAGAGUGAUGAAUGUGCAACAGCUAAUGGGAGGGUUUAUAUUCCUGAAGUAAGAAAUGAGGAAACACCAGCAGUUGGGAUGAAGUUUGACUCGCUUGACCUCGUUUACAAUUUCUAUAAUAGAUAUGCAUUCUUGGCUGGCUUUGGUAUUCGACUUCAUUCUAGCUUUUGGGGGAAAAAUAAGAAAGAGAUUUUGAGGAAAGAAUUUGUAUGUUGCAAACAAGGUGCAUACAAGAAGGAUGAAACUCGGGAGAGAAAAAGACAACGGGGAAUAAGUAGAUGCAAUUGCAAAGCAAAGAUUGUGGUUGUGAAGACAAAUGGGAGCAAGAAGUAUACCAUUUCUCUUUUUGCAGAGGGACACAAUCAUAAGAUGACACCCUCAGAAAGAAUGCAUUUAUUGAGAUCACACCGUCAUAUUUCAGAUUCUACAAAAGUACUCACAAAACAGUUGGGUUCAGUUAAUAUUCCCAUUCAUCAGAAGGUAAGUAUAUUCGAGGUGCAAUCCGGAGGAAUGGAUAAAAUCGGUUUUAUCAAAAAAGAUAUCUACAAUCUUGAAUGUAGUGUGAAUGGGAAGCUGAGGAACCACGAUGUUGAACUAGUGACCGAGUAUUUUAUGGCUGAACAGAAAAAAAAUGAGGCUUUUUAUUUCAAGAUUGAGGGAGAUGGGCAUGACAGGUUUAGUCGAUGUUUUUGGGCAGAUGCAACUUCUAGACGGGCGUAUGGGUUUUAUGGAGAUGUUGUUGUAUUCGAUACCACAUUCAACACGAAUCGAUACGACUUGACAUUUGCACCAAUGUUGGGAGUUAAUAACCAUGGUCAGACAAUUGUCUUAGCAUGCGCAUUUUUGAGCAAGGAAACGACUGAGUCGUUUGUUUGGAUGUUUGAGGAGUUUAAGAAAGCCAUGCCAGGUGGGGAACCUAAAACGAUCAUUACAGAUCAAGAUGCGGCAAUGGCCAUAGCGAUUUCAAUAGCCUUCCCGAGUACAUUUCAUCGACUUUGCAUAUGGCACAUCACAUCAAAGUUCUCUGUUAAGUUACCACGUGACGCUUAUAAGGAGUAUUGGCCUGAAUUUCAGAAAGCCAUAUGGGAUACUGACAAUAAGGAUGAGUUUGAUGCAAAAUGGAAUAUUGUGGUUAUAAAGGCUGGUUUGACUGACCAUCCAUGGCUAAGUUCAAUGUUUGAUUUAAGGGAAUCUUGGGUUCCAGCCUACGCACGACAAUUUUUUGCCGCUGGAAUGUCAAGCAGCCAAAGAGCGGAAGGUUCUCAUGGUUUUUUCAAGCAAUACAUAUCAAGGAGAAAUUCGUUGAUGGAUUUCAUAAUACGAUUUGAGAGGGCAUUUUCUCAUCAACGUGAAAAAGAGUUAGUUGCUGAUCACGUAGAUGCAUUUGAAGUGGCUCAAUGUCUUCUACCGAUGCCAAUGAACAAACAAAUGGCUACCUUGUACACAAGGACAAUGUUUCAAAAGUUUGAGCAAGAACUAAUACAAAGUACAGCAUGUUUCCUAGAGCUCAAAACAGAGGAUGCAUGUAAAGUUGUGUUCAACGUGAGCGAAAGGAAAAAUUGGGAAACAAGAGUGGCAGAAGUCGUAUAUGUCAAAGAUUCUGACCACGCAUCGUGUAGCUGCAAAAGAUUUGAAUUUGUUGGAAUUAUUUGCAAGCACAUCCUAGCAUUGUUCAGAAGGGACCAGAUUGAAUAUAUGCCCGAUAAAUAUAUUUUGAAGAGGUGGAAGAAAACUGCGAAAUGUGGAUUGGUGUCAGAUGCAAAUGGCAACGAAAUUAAAGACUGUGCAGAUCCUGGCCUUCUAAUAAAGCGGAGUACAAUGUCUCGACUUGCUUCAAAUGUGGUUGAGGAUGCAUUAAUGAGUGAAGAAGGAUGUGAGCUACUGUCAGAGACUCUAAAAAGUUUGCAGGUGAAGUUGAAGUUGCUGAAGGAUGGACCAAGUAAUAACGAAGUUGGAGGGUCCAGCUCUCAAACACAAUAUAUGAAAGACCCUAAGAGAGUGAGGUGCAAAGGAAGGUCGAAAGGAAUAACGGGAGCAAAGGAAAAGGCAAUGAAGCGAGGGAUUAGACACUGUCGGGAGUGUGGACACAUUGGUCAUGAUAGAAGACAAUGCCCAGCCUUGAACACACCGUAAGAUGCUACCACUAUUUGUAAUAAUAUCUAAAAUAUGAAAAGGUAAAAUUUUUAUGUGCUUGUGUUUGAUGUUUAUGCAGGACAUCACCGUCGAACAAUGACAAAUCAACUCCAAUACAUCGUAGUGACCCAUUAUUCGACGAUUUUGACAAGAUGCACAGACCAACUGAAUGAUUGAUAUUUGUAUUAGACGAAAUGUGGUUGUUAUGAAGAUUAAUGAUCAAGUGAAGUUUUAUAGAUUCAGUUUUUGAAUGUUAUUGUGUUUUUGUUCAUGUCCACCGAUGAGCUCUUACUAUGUCCACUGGUAAUUGAAAUGAAAAUUUUCUUGGUUUCAUUCUUCCAAGACAUUUGGAGACAUGUUAAUUUUACGUCUUCUCCCUAUUUAUAAAUUUUCAUAGACAUUUGAUCAAGUUUGAAAUUUGUAGUUAUGUGAAGAAGCAAUGACUCUUACCAUGUAAAAUGGGCAGUUUAGGGUGAAAUUUGUUUUAACAGAGAUUCAUUUUUCAAUUCCUCAGGGUAAUGCAGCAAUUACAGCAGCCAGCUGUUGUUUCCAUUACCAGUAAUCAUUUCCAGCAGCAGCCACUUUUUCCGACUGGUUAUUAGGGGCACGAUUUUGUACACUUUUGUAAGUGAAGGAUACUCGAAGCACUUUGUUGGAACAGAGCAAAUAGAAACCAGCGGGUAAAAAAAAAACAUAACAUUGCAGCUAAUUACAUUUCGAUACAUAGGUGAAAAAUAUUAAAGGGUACACUAACUUACAUAAAUACUCAUAAUUCCACACACAAAAGAACAUUUGAUUGCAAAACAUAUUAUGUGCUUCCUCAUAGCAAUACCACGAUCUCCCCAACCAACUGAACAACGGUAGCCACAAUCACUGGGUCGUACUCGUCAGCUUCUUCUUAGCAGGUCUCACAUGCUUAUGGCCACUCAUAUCCCUAGUGAUAUACACGAAAUAAAUCUUCAGCAAUAUUUGGAAUUUUAUUAUAUAUAAAUAAACCAUAAACCAUUCAGUAAACAAUGUAUAGCACAUGUUAUGUAACUUAUGACUCACGUGUCAGUUUUUUUUUUAACACAUUAGUACUCCAGCUCUUUAAUGUAAAUGGACAUGAUAAGGAGCAUUUACUGAUUCCCGGCUUUCUAUGAUAUUGACUGCUUCUUGAAUAAUAUUUCCAUAUUUGCAAAAUAUAAUGUUAGACAUUAUAACACAUGAUGACUUGCAAUACAUAGUCCCAAUAAUUAUAUAUCAAGCAAAUGAAACUGAUAUUUGUGUUAUUUUAAGUUAGAUAAUGACAUUAAGGGAGUAUAUGUGCAAUACCACGGUCACCCUCAACCAACUGAACAGCGGUAGCCGCAAUCACUUAGUCGUAUCGGUCGGCUUCUUCCGAGCAGCUUUGACGUGCUUAUGCUCAUUCAUGUCACCCCCAUCGUCUAGUAUCUCUCUCACAGCAUCAGGGGACACAUAGUUCCAAUCAUAACUUGUAUGAGUAGUUGCCGCAAAUGCUCGGAAUUUGUCGAAUCCUUCGUUGAAUGCCAACUCCAGUUCAGUAUGGUGCUCUUCGCAUCGCAUAUGGUUCAUCAAACAACCUUUGAUUUCAUCAUUCAUUACUGUAUCCAACUCCUCAGCUUUCAGCUUCCUGCUAUGACUCAGCUUCAAGUACUUGUUCUUUUGGGAUAACGCUUUGUUCACCCUAAUGUUAAGAUCAGCCAAAAUUGCCUCGUCUUCAACACAUUUCUCGUGCCAUGAAUUGAUCAGUCUGGAAUUAUAAUCCAGCUUGCCACUGACUGCAUGUAUUGCCUGUAAUGGAUCAUCGGAGUCCCCCUCACUCCCAAAUGAUGUUGAAAAAGGAAGGGGUCGGCGAGUACAAUGUGGAAAUAGAACCUGCCACUCCAAUUUGUCAUCUUCGAUUGUGUUGUUGGCGCCUGAAGAGGUUGACAUGCUUGAAUAAUCCUCUUUGUUUUGGGAGGAUGAGGAUUGCAUAUGCAAUUUCGUUUGAGAAAGGGAACAUAGGUUUAUAGACCAACAUACCAAAGCUUGUGUGUAGUCAACAUAUGUACUUUUUGGCGGGAAUUUUUUAAAAAUAGGUGUUAGGUUUUGCUUUUCAAGCAUGUCAACCUCACACUCUCCUGACACCACUGCUAGUGGUUGAAACAAAGUCAAUGGAAGUGACAUCUACUUAGUUAACUCAACCAAACUAGUUAGGAUUAAACUUAGAUUGUAUCAGACCAAAAAAUAAUUUCUACUUUGUCAACCAAAUAUUUUUUGGCGGGAACCCUUUUCUUGGUAUUACUAUCACCCCUUUCAUAUAAAAUCUCCUUCCACACAAAACUCACUCCUCCACCGAAUCUGUCUCCAUCUACCGAUACUCUCUCAAGCAAACAAACUCAUUCCCCCCAAAGAAUGAGCAUAAGCACAACCAAGUUUGAUGUGAGCAUAAUAAACACCCCUCCAAACAAAGACCGGCUUCGACACGCAAGUGAGUCACCGGACAAGCAAUGUCACAUUGCUAGACAGAAUGACCAUUUUGUUGGAAGUUUUGAGUCUGAAAGAGUUGUUGCUUUUUGGAAGGAGAGGCAUCUUCAACUUGGUGAUGAAAUCCAAAGGGCAAGGGCACGUUUGGAAUUUGUGGAAGGCCAAAUUGAAGAUGACAAAAGGCAGGCCAAUCUGGAUAGGGCGAAGUUGUAGCGCAUGAAGCGUAGACACAAACGACUUCGGAGUGUAGCUGUUCAAAAAUACAAGAACUCAUCUAAUGUAGUGGAGUCAAAGAAGCGUGUGAUGCAAGCUGGAUUCGACUACUUCCGAUCCUAUGCAAAACUCGUCGUACCCGGGUUUGAUUGGUCAUCUAUUACCGUUUCCGACGUCACCAAAUAUACUCAGCAAGGGAAGUAACCAUUUUGGUUCUCGUGUUUUAGCAGAGGCAAAUAAGUGGAAUUGGAAUUUUGGUUACACUCUGCUUCAAAGCUAUUUUGAUGCUAACUACUAUGGAAGAUUUAAACCUUAAUAUUUUGAUGUCUUUAAUUACGAAAACAGAAGAUGCAAAGAGCUCAUCUACUUCAGCCAUAUGUUGCUGCCAUGUCCAUUUGUUUUUGAUCACUUAUCAGAUUUGGACAUGGUUGCAUCAUAUGCAAUGUUGCCUUUAUUUAUUAUAUGUUAGGACAAGGUUUAUGGAAAAGCUUUUGUGAGUGCGUUUGUGACAAGGUUAUGGAAUUAUUAUGUACACUUUAUAUAUUGUUUUUUGUACUGGUUCAUUUCCUACUAUUUCUUGCUUUCUUUAUAUUUUAUGUUUGUGGAAUCCCUCUCAAAGUUAACAUAUACUGUGAAAAAAAUAUUAUGCAACUGAUUAUAUAAUCACUCAUAUAGACUAGGACAAAUAUUCACUAAGGGUUUUAAACUUGCUUCACUUGUGUGAUGUUAUUGACAAAAAGUAUGGCAUUAUUUAUGUGAUUUGACAUGAUUGAAAAUAUAUUACUGAUUCCCAAUGCGGCGUCAUAUGGACAACGUAUUGAAUACCUGUGACGUGUUAAUAACUCAAGGUGCAGUUGCAUGUGGACAACUUCUUGAAUACCUCUGACGUGUUGAAAACUCUAGGUGCAGUUGCAUGUGGACAACUUAUUGAAUACGAACUGACGUCUUCAAAGCUCUAGGCGUAGUUGCAAUGAUGGCUUCAAAGCAUGUGCAAUUAUUUUUUAUGUACAUUAUUAUAACAAAACAUAUUAUUGUAUAUAGUGAAACUAAAUAUUGUAUUAUUAGAAAUUAUAUUUCGAAUAUUAUCCGAAAUAUACGUGUUAACGUGAAUUUGGGUUAAGAGGAAAGUGAGUUAUGUACAAAUAAUUUUCAUUUUCUCAUUUUCCGGGCAUUUUUUGGAUUUUCGUAGAAUUUAUUACCUAUGUCCACAGAUUGUUGCACUAAAAAAGCCAAAAUAAUAGCAAGAGGACACCUGGAGCGAUCUCAGCCCGUCACUGAUGACUACUUGCACAAGUGUACGUCAGUCAACAUGGCCACACCCUCCCAUUUUACCCUAAAUUAUUAUUUUAUUACUUUUCCUUACAAAAAUCAGAACUAAUUACACACAAAAUAAAAAAAUUAUCCGAAAAUUGCUACGAACUCAUUGACACUCCAUCUCCGUUGCUGAAUUCUCCGAUUCAUUGUUACGUAUUUGUAAAAUUAAUUCCCAACAUUAACGGGAGAUGCUUGUUGAAGUAGGUUAUUCAAGUUGAAGUUAACAAACAUCAAUACUUAGGGUUAAGAGGAAAGUGAGUUAUGUAACACAAUUUGGAUUAUUUCAUUGCGAGACGAAUGAUUUAUAGGUUCUCCUAGUUUUAUGACGUCACAAGUAGGCCGGAGUAAUUUUUGGGGCAUUUUUACGAUUUUCCUACUAUUUUUUACCUAGUUUCAAAGAUUUUUGAACAAAAGAAUCCAAAAUGUAAAAGAAGAUGACACCUGGCGCGAUCUCAGCCCGUCACUUUUCACUACUUGCACAAGUGUACGUCAGUCAACAUGGCCACAUCCUCUCAUUUUACCCUAAAUUAUUAUUUUAUUACGUUUUGUCUUGGAAAAUUCAUAACUAAAUACACAAAAAUUCAAAAUUAUUUCUGAAAAUUGCUACGAACUCAUUGACACUCCAUCUCCGUUGCUGAAUUCUCCGAUUCAUUGUUACGCAUUUUUAAAAUUAAUUCCCAACAUUAACGGGAGAUGCUUGUUGAAGUAGGUUAUUCAAGUUGAAGUUAACAAACAUCAAUACUUAGGGUUAAGAGGAAAGUGAGUUAUGUAACACAAUUUGGAUUAUUUCAUUGUGAGACGAAUGAUUUAUAGGUUCUCCUAGUUUUAUGACGUCACAAGUAGGCCGGAGUAAUUUUUGGGCCAUUUUUACGAUUUUCCUACUAUUUAUUACCUAGUUUCAAAGAUUUUUGAACAAAAGAAUCCAAAAUUAACAAGAAUAUGACACCUGGCGCGAUCUCAGCCAGUCACUUUUGACUACUUGCACAAGUGUACGUUACCGAACAUGGCCACAUCCUCCCAUUUUACCCUAAAUUAUUAUUUUAUUACCUUUUUUCUUGGAAAAUUCAUAACUAAAUACACAAAAAUUAGAAAAACGAUCCGAAAAUUUCUACGAACUUAUUGCGAUUUCAUCUUCCUACUGCAUUCCCUGUUUAAUGGUUAUGCUACAUUAGUAUUUUAUUAUUAUUUAUCCACAAUUAUUAUAAUUAUUAUGAUAUUACUUUUUAGGCUGUCCAUUUGUUAAUUAUACCACAUCCAACUUGUUGAAAACAAUUUUAUUUUCCGUGCGAAUAGGCCAUUUGUAGUGCUUAUCGGUUUCUCUGUUCUUCAAUUUGUUAAUUUUUUUAUUUUUUAGGUUGAAGGGAUGUUUUGAAACAUAAUAUGGAAAUAUACAAGUCAUCCAUUGUACUCCUUCCACACAAAAAAAUAGUCUACGUCAUUCACUGUUCAACACCCUAGGUUAAGACACGUGUAACCAAAUCCGUUCGGAUAUGCUAAGUGGGAAAAUGUCAUUCCCAAGCACUGGUGAAAAGACACUUAUUUACUCCAUGCAUGACUUUUGGUUUACCAAAUAUGAAGAUUGGGGUCGGUGAGCAAAAUAUCUGUGUCAGUAAAAUGUCAUUCCUAGCCAUCUAUGAUGUAAGUAAUAAUUCCGCUAUAUAAUAAAUAUUAUACAUUUAUAUAUAAAACGGUUUAUGACAAAAUACCAACAUUUGAACAACAUUUAAACUGAGAUAGGUAUAACGUAGCCAGCCAACCUAGAAGUGAAGAGAAGCAAGUCCACAAUGCAUCAAAACUGUAAAUUCGUACUAAAACUAAUGCAAAAAUACGUGAUUCCCUCGCACAACUUACUCACGCAGGAUUUUGCACCAAAAAAUACUCUCACGGUGCCAUUUGCAUCGGUUGCAGCAAGUCCAAAACGCAGGAUUUAUCUUGUCUUCACUAGGCCACCCUGGAAUAACAAAAUACCAUUCAUUGUUGUUACAAGCGCUGCACCGAUUGAACUUAAUCUUCCCAUAGUCAAACAUAUCUACGAUAUGUCUUGCAACAAAUGCUCCGCGACAUCUUCCUGUUAAAGCAUCCCUGGUUCCUUUCAUAUCAAUGUUGUUACGUUGAUUCAAAGAACACAAGAAUUGUAAUGCAUCCUCUUUUGACUGACCAAUUCCGGACAUACCAAGUAGUCCAACUACAUAUGCCGCUUCCAUAUGGCCUGCCGUGGCUGCAAUGCGCAUCCCAUACAACGCUUCCACCUUACCGUCUGUGAAAAAACCUUCGAAUGCUUCUCUAAAUAUGGACUCAGGGUUAUCGCAAGCCCUGCAUUGUUGCAAGAAAUGCUGGACUGCAGGUUUGGCACGGUAGCAGAUAGGAUGGUGUGGGUACUUUGCCAUUGAAAUGGUGUUCCACACUUGUGGACUGUUUGCCAAAAUGUUGAACAAUCGGCACACACAUGCCAUACGGAAGAGAUCUUCCGAUGAUUCGGUUGCCACGUAUAACAUCACUUGAAACCAAGCGGACUCCGGGAUAAAGGCUUCGGGCAUAUCGAAAUGGAGAUGCUUCCUUCUCUUUCCUCCGACUGUAGUGAAGUGUUUCGAAUUCAUUGAAAAGUUUUUGGAAUGGAACGAUUUGAGGAGUGGCAGAGGGGAUAAAUGAUAAUAUUUGGGGUACACGUUCUACUUCCGAGCCUCUGUUUAUAGUGUUUUGAAAAGGUGUUUCCAGUUGGGGUUUUUCCAAGUUGACCCUUUUGAAAGAAACUGAAUCCAAGUGAAUUAAAACUUAAGACAAAAGAAGGGAAAACGUCAUAACGGUGCAUACAGAGUCAGACAGUUAAAAAGUUAAUUAAAUGGCUAUUUGCAUAGCCAUUUUUGGGUUUAUCCCACUAUCAAAUUCAUUGAUACAAAUGUGAUGGAUUACUGACUAGUGACAGAAGGUCCCAUCAUAUACUUUUUCAUUUUCGCACACCCAACUAUCCCUAGUAAUGUUAUUAAAAUGGAACCAAUAAUGACGGAUUCUUAUCCAACUAGUUGCCUUAAUGAAAUAUAAAUAAAUUAAUAAAAUUGAAGCAGUGUCCCGUCAUUAGUCAGAAAAUAUAUUUGGUAGUGAAGUAGUUUCUAUUGCUUUUCGGGCUAAAAGAUGUCACAAUGCUGACGGUACAGGUGUCGACAUCGUGACCAACCCACCAAAUGAUCCCAAAAAAAAGUAAUAUAACUCGAUUUGGGCAGAGAUGAGAGAGAGCUGAGUGACAAGUUUAGGGUUAUGAGUGAAGGGGUAUGAAUGACAACUAUGAGUGAGAAGGUAUGAGUCCGAAGAGGUUUCAGUGAGAAGAUUUGAGUGAGAAGAGGUACAACUGAGAAGAUUCAACAUGUCUUCGUCUUCAUCUCCUGCUCAAACAAAGAGGUGUCAGUAUUGUGGAGCUACAAUGGUGCUUCGGGUUUCAAAAUCUGAAAAAAAAUCGAGGGAAGCCAUUCUGGAAGUGUCUAACCUCCUAUGUAAGUUUUAAUUUAAAGAAUAUGUAUGUGGGUGAAAAAAAACCUAUGUCUAACUCUGACAGAAUUAUAUUCCAUAUAUGAUGCCUGCAAUUAGGGAGCCACCAGUUGCAAUGGAUUCGAAUGGGUUGAUGUAACCUCCGCUGAAGCAGAACAUCAAGAUGACACGUAUGAUGUUAGAGUGCUGAACAUGCUGAAGUCCAUUAAGGACUUGGUAUUAGUUUUAUUAGUUGUAUUAAUUGUCAUUUUAUUUGUUCUUUUAAUGAUCAUUUAACUGCACGGUUUAAAAGAUUGUGAAAGUUCUCUCGCACAAGACAUAUUGCACGCACCACCAAUGAGACCCUAAACCCAUUUUGUAAUAUUUGGUAACUGCAUGUAUUUCGCAUGUUAUUGAAUGUUUAUUGAAGGUUUAUUGAUAGUUUGCUGCAUGUAUAUGGAAUAUCAUUGCCCCAAAAUUGGAUGUUUAUUGGGGCCACAAGUAUCACUCAAGUAAGAAUGAAGGGGAGAAACGGACCUUAUUCUUUCUUAUAGUAGGAAGAACAACUGUUAAGUUUAAUAUCCUAUUCAAUACGACUUCCCUAUGGUUGGUGUACUUGGGGACUGAAGUAUAUUGCAUCAUUAUUGUGGGCAAGGGCAUGUCUAUUGUGUGUGUUAAGGGAGUAUUGUGUGGGCAAGGGCAUGUCUACUGUGUGUAUAUUGCAUGUCUACUGUGUGUAUAUUGCAUAUCUAUUCUCUGUAUAUGGCAGGCCAAGUUUGUGUAUAUUGUUUGUCUGUUGUGUGUGUAUUGCUUGUCGGUGCGUUUGUGAAUUGUGGUUCAUUUUGUGUAUAUUGUCUUUGUUUCUACUUUUAUGCUACUGAGCUGCGGAAAACCUCGCAUGUUUAGACACCUAUUAUGAUGCAACACAUUGCGAUUAAUGGUGGCUUGCAUCAACAAUGACAUAUCACUUUGCAAUGAUGUAAUACACUUAAAAAGCCGUCUUCAAAUCCCAAUUCACAUAUGCAGUCUUAAAAUUCUAAUUCAAUGCAGUUUGGUUAACAAACAUGUAAAUGUCAUGAAGGAGUUAGCGGUAGAAUUCGAUAAGGACCCGUACGUCUCUAUUGUGUAUUUACAUUAGUUUGAGAAUGGACAUUCCCAAAACCUUCUCAUGUACCAUUUGUCAUCUUCAACCAAUAUCAUGGGAAGUAAGCAUCUCCCCUUGUUAUCUCCGCAGCCAAUUUCAACCGAAAAAAAGGCAUGUUGUGCGAGGUGCAAGUAGCUAACGGAAGCUUAGCGCUGAAAAGCUCAAUGUACUUUAACACAAACAUGCCACAAUCGCCUCUGAAGCAAAACAAGAACUCGAUCAAUUCAACUAAUGACAUUCUAAUGUAAUUGACAAUUGAAAGUAAUAAAAUUAAAUUGCAAGUUGUGCUUACUCAUUAGACUGUUGUGGAACAUCCACACGCUCUAUUGGCCACGGACACCACCAAUCUCGGCUGCAAUUGUUUGCAUAAACACCUUCUUCAUAAAAGUCGAUGGUGUUGAGAAGAUUUGGAAGCGUAAUUGAUAGCGGGCCGAGUUCUUCCUUUACGAUGUCAUCUGGAAUUAGUGAAACCUUUGAAUCGUACACUUUGAUUCACACAAUACCAGAUCAAACANNNNNNNNNNNNNNNNNNNNNNNNNNNNNNNNNNNNNNNNNNNNNNNNNNNNNNNNNNNNNNNNNNNNNNNNNNNNNNNNNNNNNNNNNNNNNNNNNNNNNNNNNNNNNNNNNNNNNNNNNNNNNNNNNNNNNNNNNNNNNNNNNNNNNNNNNNNNNNNNNNNNNNNNNNNNNNNNNNNNNNNNNNNNNNNNNNNNNNNNNNNNNNNNNNNNNNNNNNNNNNNNNNNNNNNNNNNNNNNNNNNNNNNNNNNNNNNNNNNNNNNNNNNNNNNNNNNNNNNNNNNNNNNNNNNNNNNNNNNNNNNNNNNNNNNNNNNNNNNNNNNNNNNNNNNNNNNNNNNNNNNNNNNNNNNNNNNNNNNNNNNNNNNNNNNNNNNNNNNNNNNNNNNNNNNNNNNNNNNNNNNNNNNNNNNNNNNNNNNNNNNNNNNNNNNNNNNNNNNNNNNNNNNNNNNNNNNNNNNNNNNNNNNNNNNNNNNNNNNNNNNNNNNNNNNNNNNNNNNNNNNNNNNNNNNNNNNNNNNNNNNNNNNNNNNNNNNNNNNNNNNNNNNNNNNNNNNNNNNNNNNNNNNNNNNNNNNNNNNNNNNNNNNNNNNNNNNNNNNNNNNNNNNNNNNNNNNNNNNNNNNNNNNNNNNNNNNNNNNNNNNNNNNNNNNNNNNNNNNNNNNNNNNNNNNNNNNNNNNNNNNNNNNNNNNNNNNNNNNNNNNNNNNNNNNNNNNNNNNNNNNNNNNNNNNNNNNNNNNNNNNNNNNNNNNNNNNNNNNNNNNNNNNNNNNNNNNNNNNNNNNNNNNNNNNNNNNNNNNNNNNNNNNNNNNNNNNNNNNNNNNNNNNNNNNNNNNNNNNNNNNNNNNNNNNNNNNNNNNNNNNNNNNNNNNNNNNNNNNNNNNNNNNNNNNNNNNNNNNNNNNNNNNNNNNNNNNNNNNNNNNNNNNNNNNNNNNNNNNNNNNNNNNNNNNNNNNNNNNNNNNNNNNNNNNNNNNNNNNNNNNNNNNNNNNNNNNNNNNNNNNNNNNNNNNNNNNNNNNNNNNNNNNNNNNNNNNNNNNNNNNNNNNNNNNNNNNNNNNNNNNNNNNNNNNNNNNNNNNNNNNNNNNNNNNNNNNNNNNNNNNNNNNNNNNNNNNNNNNNNNNNNNNNNNNNNNNNNNNNNNNNNNNNNNNNNNNNNNNNNNNNNNNNNNNNNNNNNNNNNNNNNNNNNNNNNNNNNUUUUCCUCUCCCUCAUCUCUAUUAUUUGGCCCUUCACCCCCUUCAAUCCCUUCAUCUUCUUUUUCCUCUCCCUCAUUUCUGUUACUUGGCCCUUCAUCCCAUUGAAUGUCAUCCAUUUCCCCAUAUCCCUUAAAUAGAUGUGAGACGACACAACGAUUCGUCCUCUGUUUCAGUAAAGCUAGGUCCCUCCUUACUUCCUGCUCAAACUGAGGACCUAAACAUUGGUCCAAUAGUUUUUCCAUCCGUAUGACCUUUAAGUGAAGGACGUCUUUUUCCCGCUUUUCUUGAAACAACUCGGACCUCAACAAGCUUACCACCUUGUUCAACUCAUCAAGAUCACCACAUGAAGAAGGAAUUGACUCUGCCGAGACAACAGCAGGGCGAUCCUGUGGCCAACUCCAAUAUGGCUGUCUCAUUUCCUCUUCACUUAGACAUAGCGCCCGCAACUGAACUGACUGUUUCAGAAUACAGACAAGAGUCAUAUUAAAUCAUUCUACUUCAUAAUUUCAUUCAAUCUUAUCAAUAGUUCUAAGGGCUGCAAACCAAACCUCUUUGCUCUGGAAAAAAUAAUUGUUCAACUUUCUCAUCUCUGGAACAGACGUAGUAGUUCUCCAUCGCAAAAUACGCGGGACAGCGGUCGGAUCAACAACCUUGCAGUAAUUCAGGUCCGCCAUUCUAGGAAUUAAUUCAUAUACCCAAAUCUACACAAUUCACAGGACAAAAGUCAUUAUUUAUGUUUUAAAGAAAAACAAAACAUAACUGACAUGAACAUUAUUACCAUGUACCUGGAAAGCAUACGUGAAACCUUUAAAACUCCAGCCACUCCUUUGCGCUUCACUAUGCUUAUCCUUCUUGCCCUUCUCAUUUCUCCGGCUUGUUCCCGUUACCUUACUUUUCCCCUUCCCUCUUCCCUCUUCAUUUUCCAAGCUUUUCACAUACUUUGUUGGUGCAGAAAAUAGACUGUCUUGGGUUUUGUCAAAGGACACCGAACCCCACGGAUACCUGUUGAACGCAUCCAAGUCCUCUACAAGGGUCAGGUAAUUUAGAUUGAUGUUCAAAUGUUUGUCCCUUCCCAAAACCACUAACUCAGCAAAGUAAACAAGAGGUAGCUUGAAGAUGUCAUCUUCCUCUGUGCACCUCACAAAUGCUUCUUCUAAAGCAUUGCAUGUAAUUCCUUCGUCUAUAAAAUAUCUUUUCUGAAGUCUGAUUUCAUUACUCUCUCCACUGGAAACUUCAGGCACUUCCCCAAAACGAAGCCCUGUGAUCAAACAGAAAUCCUGACGAGUGAACUGAGCAACGUCACACCCUAAUAAGAAACUCAGUCCAUCCAAGUCUUUCACACCCUGCCCCGCUACUCUACGCAACACAACCCCAUGCACAAUCUGUCCGCUAAACUGAAUCUUAUCUAUAUUCAGAAGAUGGCCAAAGCAUGAUGUCUUGAAUUGUUCUAAUUGUUCCGCACUCAACUUCGCUCGAAUUGCAGCUAGAGAUGAAUUUGCAUGUGAGCAGUUGUUCACCCGUGAUGAAUAUACCUCUGCCUCUGGCCAUACCAGCUCCACGUUGGAUCCCAUUUCCUCAAAUACAAUGUGAAAUAACGUGAACAUAUAUACUACCACGUAUUUGCACAAUCACAACUAGUCAACCAGGCACAUUACAACUUUUACAAAGUACAUGAGCAUAUGGAUUACUCAUCACAGGCUUUAACAUCAUCAAAGCAAUAUGACAAUUUUUGUGCAAAUACCUGUUAAUGCAAUGAUUAUGUGAAUUACAAACAAUUUCACGUGUUUUAUUUAUGGAUCCAUACUCGUGUGAGUGCAAUGUAGGCAAGUUCUGCACUUCACACACAUGACAAUUAUUGUCAUCUCAUACACAACCCAAAAUAAAUAAAUAAGAAAUAUAGUGGAAGGAAGCAAAGCAAAGCAUGUACUCUGCUAUCUGCUUGCUAAGCAAUUGCCACAUCCUUCUUUCUUUCUACCUUUUUCUUCAGUCACCCACAAUCGUCAUAGAUCAACCUUCAUUUCAAAUGCUUUGCACUUUUAUUCAUGAGUUUAUUAUUAUCUGUUCUCAUUUCUCAUAGGCAAAUUUAGUAACAAAUGAAAUAAUAUUUAUUUCACAAAAUAUAUAAAUUCUAGUGCCAGAGAGGUACUCUUCACUCUGCACUGCUUCAAAUGUGGAAGGUUUUGAGAUGUUAUUGACAUGUGAUUGACUUUAUUUUCAUUCGUUUUUUAACAUAUACCCAAGCAAAAAUUAACAUGCAAUUGAAGCACAAAUAAGAGAUGCCAAAUCCAACAACAUUGAUGGUACAAAUUGGGGAAAACCAUUACUCUAACCCUAAACUCAAAUUCCUUACAUUACUCAUCAAAUGCUUUGCAGUUCUAUUCAUGAGUUUAUUAUUAUCUGUUCAAAUGUUUCUCAGGCAAAUUUAGUAACAAAGGAAAUCAUAUUUACUUCAUAAAAUAUAUAUAUAUAUAUAUAUAUUCUAGCGCCUCUUCUUAAUCUGCACUAUGCACUGCUUCAAAUGUGGAAGGUUUUGAGGGCCUCCUCCAAUUCAACACCAUUAUCUUAUUCAUAUCAUUAUUGACAUGUUAUUCACUUGUUAUUGACUUCAUUUUCAUUCUUUUUUUAACAUAUACCUAAGCAAAAAUUAACAUGCAACUGAAGCACAACGAAGAGAUGCCAAAUCCAACAAAAUUUAUGGUACAAAUUGGGGAAAACCAUUACUCUAACCCUAAACUCAAAUUCCAUAAAUUACUCACCAAAUGCUGGUUAUUGCAAGGUGUCUGUGUGGGGUCUUUCUGUUUCUUUGCUCCACAAAUGGAACCUACCACUUCCAACGAAUACAGCUUUUCCCCUUCCCCUUCCACUGCUUCGCCUCUUCACUGAUUUGGAAUCCACACCUUUGCCCCUUCUACUCCAAAUAAAUACUUUCUCGGGGUCUGGAGAACGGAGUGGCGAAUCGUUGCCUUCAACUGUCGUUAGCCGUUGCCUUCAUUGGGUAUCUCAGACCUCUGUGUUUUAGAGAGAUGAGUUCUUUCUGUUCAAACUUCGAACUUGCCUCUUCUUCUUCUUUUUCGGACGUGUUUCCCUCUUCUUCUUCUUUUUGGACGUGCUGGAUAUUCAAUUCGGGUUUGGGUUCCUUACCUACCCAAUUGUGAAACUUUAACUCAAUUCUCCCCAGCCCUUGGAUUAAUCUGAUGGCUAUAAAGUGAACCCCUUAUAACUUACCCCUUAUAACUUUCCACUCAUUAUAGUCUUGGCCAGGUAUGGCGGCCAUGCUAGUAAGUGUUGGGUCUUUGACCCAACUUAAGCUAAAUGGGUCAUAAGAUGACCGAUCAUCUUAUCUCAUAAGGAUAUAUAAGUCAUGUUAUGAUUUAGGAUUUUAUAGGGUUUCCUUUGUAAGAGGUAAGAGAGAAACAAGCUCUCUCUCUCUCUACACAAGGAGGUCAGCCAUAGCAAGGGAAAGGCUCCUAGCACUCUCCUCUCUCUUAUUAUAUCAUCCUUCCAAGGACAGCUUUGGUAUGGUAAAGUUGGAGGUUGCACACUUUGUGCACUUUGGUAAGAACUCAUCCAAGGGAGCCAAGAUUAAAUUGGUUAGCUGUUGGAUUAAAUUGGUUAGCACGAUUCAACGGUUAAUAGAUAAAACUUCACAUAAAAGUCAUAUAUAAGGCCCUCACUAUAGAAUGACUCGUUAGUUUAGUCUCUUGUUACAUAUCAAAUGUUAGAGAUAUUUUUUAAUAAGGAUCUGCCAUACCACAUAGUUGGAUAAGACAUUAUACACGGCUUUUGUAAGAGCAUCUCCAGCGCUCCAAACUAGCCCAAGCAGCAGGGGGGCCUAAGUCUAGGAAGCAGCUCCAGCUCGCAAGAUUCAACCCAGGCAAGGUGUGGAACCCACGAGGAGAUCUAGCCCGUCACCUUGCCUUUGGGUUUCAGUCAAGCUGAUGUCAACGAAAGAAUUUCAAAUUUUUUUUACCGUUACAAUGUACGCGCCAACGAUAAAUUUUCUUUGGAUUUCUUGCAUUGAUCCACAGCUACCAAAAACCAACAGCUACAAGCCACGUGGCUUCUCCAGGAGCCUCCGAUCCAAAAAUCAUGUCAAAUCUAACGGCAGUCCAUUUUUUGGCUAAAAAUAUCAAAAAAUUAUGGAAACAUGUUCUAUAAAUUCCUACAAAUAUUAUUCACUUCCCACACCAAAUCUUCAUACAAAUUCAUAUCCUUUCAAUAUUUUUCACUUUCCAUACAAGAUUUUCUACUACUAAGUUUCGUUUGUGUAAAAAUACAAAUGACCUCUUCUAUCGAAGCCGGAGGCGCGUGUACAACCGUGGAAGAUAUUUUGUUGCGUGAGUGUUGGGUCAAAGUUGGUCAUUCCCUGAUCACGGGCAAUGAGAUGAAGUCCUCUCGUAGGAGUUUCUGACAUCGCAACGAAAGUAAGAUGUGAUAUGAAAAUGUAAGGAAUUUGAUGAGAGGAAUGGGAUUUGAGGAGUUUGAUGUAGGAAUUGAUGUAGGAAUUGAAUUUGGGAGGUAUGUAUAUAAGAUUUGAGGGUAUGUGUUUAGGGAUUUUGAUAAGAGGAUUUGAGGAAUUUAGAUUUGAAGGAUUUGGAUUUGGGGAAUUUAAAUAUGAGGAAUUUGAUUAGGGUUUGGGUUUGAAUAUGUGAAAUUUGAUAUGAGAGUUUAGAGACAACAGAUGAUCGAUUGCUCUGAUACCAUGCUAAAAUAUGAUAUGGUUUGAAUACUUUAGGUUGAGUUUUAUUCUUUUCCAUAAAAAGGUAUAUAUAGGAGUUUACAUGAGUGCUUUACAAAGAAAUAGAUACAAUAAUCAAUUAGGAUAAUAUCUCCUAAUUAUACAAUAAUUUGUCAACUAUAUAGAAUAGGAAAGUAAAUUCCUUAAUUAAUCAAGAAAAUAAAUCUCAUUGAUUAAUUAGGAGACUAACGUCAACAUUUAUAAGCCAUAAAAGAGCAGAAAAAGAGGUACUUAGGAGAUUUUAUACGUCGGACUAAGGUAAGCUUAAAGGACUAUAUCAAAAAAAUAAGGGACCAAGAAGCAAGACAGAGAAGUUGUUAUGCAAACCCAUUAAGUUUAGCAGUGAUGAAUUUGUAAAAAUCAUUCUAGUGGAUUCUGCCUUCACUAUUGAGUUCUUAUUGAGGUUCUAUCUGAAAGGAUCUGGACAUGAAGGAGACCGCUUAUUAAACAAACCGUGGAUGUUUACAGCCUGACAUGUGGUUGCUUGAAAAUCAGCUCCCAUUCUUUAUUCUUGAGGAUCUUUAUCACACAUACAUAAUAACCGACUCUUUUAGGAAUUAUUACAGUACUCAUGAUCAUGAGAGGCUUUCAAUAAUUAAUAUUUCUAAGAAUUUCUUCACAGCCGGAAUAUUGAAUUUGGAGGGGAAGGGAGACAAAUGGAACAGAAUAUCAUCUUCUUCUAGUGUUGGAAAUUUUAUAUUAUUUAAUAAUAUUUAAUUUCUAUUGUGAAUGAAAAAUAAGUUUCUUUAAGAAACGUGUGUCUUAGGCCAGUUUUUCUAACUGGUCGGCUUCCUUAGAUUUGUGCCUAUUGCUUUUCAAAGUAUAAUGAUGCAAUGGUUGUAUCUCGUUCAGGCAAAUGGAAGGUAUAUAGCAAUUUAUAGAACAAUACAGUAAUCCAGAAGAAAUAUUAUGAAAUGAAAAGAAUAAAAAGUAAAAAAAGAGAAAGAAAGGAAUUCCCACCUGCAAUGUAUAUGUAUGAAAGGAAGGACCAAGUUUGUUUUAAAAUGGUAAGAACAAGUUGAUUUUAAAUUGGGUUCAGAUCAACUCAUAGAUUUCUUGCCUUUUCUGUUCUCCUUCCUUGGACAUGAACUGUUUAAUCUUGGACUCUUCCCCAUCAUGUUGGGCCUGUCUUCUUCUUGAGGAUUGUAUAGGCCUAGGAAAUGCUUCGGGGUAGUUUUUGUGUUUUGGGCAUUGGGACCCAACUUCACAAAAAGAAAACAAAUUUGACCAAAACACAAAUUUGAAGGACAUUGAAAUUGUACCCGUAGGAUAGAUUAAAACACUAUAAGGGAGGUAAAUAGUACGUUUACAGAGUUUAAGUGUAAUAAAGGAAUAAAAACAUGCCCAGAGAAUUGAUAAGUGAUAUCAAUUCUUGAAUAUACGUGAAAAUUAUUUUAUGUGGUUAAACCCCACCUCUGGGGAAAAUCCACGGAACUUCUUAGUCCAACUUCUAUCACUUAUCCUAGACACAUUCUAGAUAAUGUUUGCCAACCUCUUCGUAACUCAACUUCUGUCACGAGAUGAUCUUUCAACACUUUAUGUCGAACGCAAUACUGGUCACGAUUUCUUCAAGCUCGCCGGAGUUCUUCCAAUUCUCCUUAUAUUGAAUCUGAUACUAGUCACGAUCGAUUCAAGCUCAUCGGAGAAAAAUCGCCACAACAAUCUUGGUGCCCUCAACCGUAUGAGUCACUGAACAUGCAAAUGAAUACAAUAUGAAUGAUAAAAGUGUUUGAUAAAUCACCAAGUUAUGGAACACUUGAUGAUUUAUCUCAAAUAAAAAUUCAGCUUUCCAAAGUUUAUGAAUUGAAAAUAUGACCGUUAAAGCUCUCUAAACAAAGAAGACGAAGGUCUUAUUUUAUAGACUUUUACUUUACAAGAAAGAAAACACGUUGAAAACCAAAUCUCCAAUUUCCAAGGCUUGACAGAAAAUCACAAAAUUAUCUUUCCUAUUCUAGAGAUUGGUCACAUGAAGUCCAACCAAUAGGAAAUGAGAUAUUUAAGAAAGGAAGAUUUUGAUCAAUAUCAAUAUCAAAUGAAUUCUUAUACGCCUAGUCAAUUGUUAUGGGUAUCUUGACUCCUUGAUAUUGUGAUAUGAUUGAAACAUGAUUUCCACGUUAGAAAAUUAAGGGGAUGUUAAAACAUGAAGGUAAUAGGAGAAUCAAAUUGAUUUGGGCCAAAAUUGCCUAAAAAGAAAACACUCCUUAAUAAACUUCAAUUUACUUUUAAAAAUAGUAAAACGUGAUUGAAUCGUUCUUUAAAACAAUUCCCUAAUAUACAUGCAUGAUAGUGAUAUCACUUACCUUUGAAUCAGAUGGCUUUCACGGGUCAAGCCACAAGUUUUUGUCUUGGGGAUUGCUGAGCUUCAUCAAUCCUGCCAAUGUCAAUUUUGCCCCUAAGCUCUCUCAAAGCACGUUUACAACCUAUGCUAACAUAUAUUAGAGUUUAUGUUAGUAUCAAGAAAAUGCCAACACUAAUUUCGUAACACGUAGAAAUUGUUAGAGAUUGAAGUUUUUAUCAUUUUUUCUUCCAGACUCUCCACCACUCACUAAUAUAGUUUACUCAUGUGAUGAGUUUACAAAACCUAUUUCUCUACUCUCACAAAGACUAUACUUAGGGGGGUGUAUUCAAUUAGGAUUCUAAAGCGUUUAAAAAGAUUUUGUUUAAGUGCCAGCUUUCAUAGAACUUGAUGGAACUUUAUAAUUCGUAUAGAACUUGAUAGACUUUCAGAAGACUUCUGUAUAAUUUUUUAAUAAAACUUUCUUAAGCUUUCAUAGAACUUGAUAGGCUUUCAUUCCAAACUUAUGUAGAUGGUAUAUUUCAUUUUAUCCCCAUCCUUGACAUUUAAAGAAAGAAACUUGAAUUUUUUCAAUCAAAUUUGUUUUUGUUACCAAAGCAGCAAAAACAAAAAGUACUUGUUUGCGAUGGAAGAACAUAUGCACAGUUCAAAAUGAAAAGAAUAAGAAGCAAAGUACCUAUUUGACCAAUGAAUGCUGUGUCAACUAGAGAAGCAAUUGGAUCGGCUGUCAAAGCCAAUGCUGCAGGCAAUGCAUCGAUGGUCCAAAUUGCAAUAAAAAAAUAUUUUGAAUAAUGGCUCUUGCAGACAAAGACCACAUAAAUUCUGAACUGGUCUAGCUUGAAUAAUAAGGUUAGAUUAGCCAAUUGAUGAGAUUAAAAGCAAAGCAAGUUGAUGAAUUUAUCAUCAACUAUUUAAUAACCACAGUCCUGAUCUCUUGGACCCCUGUAGUCCAAGAGAUUUAUGGUCACCCACCGUUGGAUGUAAAUUCAACGGUUGACUUGAAUCGGGUAAUAAUCAUUUAUGUCAUAUUGCAUUUAUAUAUAUCAUUUUGAACCAUUGGAUUAAUAUCCAACGGUGGGUGACCACAAUCUCUUGGACUCCUGUGGUCCAAGAGAUCGGGACUGUUAAUAACCAAUAGAGUAUUUAAACAUAAACAACAAUGUUUGAUCAACAAAACAAAUAGUCCAAAUAUCAUCCAAAAAACAAUAACAAAAAAUCAAUCAUUCCAAACAAACUAGUCAUUCUCAAAAACUCUCAAAAAACCCACUCAUUCCAAAUUGUAGGAUAUCCAAUUUGAGCACUCCUCAGGAGACAUUUUCAAAAAUGCAUCCUUUUUUGUGUUACUAUGCAACAAAGAGAGUGCUUUAUAACGAGCAUGUUCAUCCAAAUUUGGGGUCUCCUUAAUGGCAUCCCAUAUAUAACUCCGCUGCUCUCUCUCUUUUUCCCUUUUUGCCAAUAGGUUAUGGACCUCCCGGAAGUCGAUGACAAUUGAAUCAAUGCUAAGGCUAAUUCUUCCCAUAGCUUGCUGGGUGGUCACAUUUGAGAUAGCAUUCCCUUCCAAAUAUGUUCUAGUUCGUUUCCUCUAGUAACAAGCAUAAAUCCUAGUAACAAGCAUAAACCCUAACCCCAACCUAUAACCUAAUAACAAGAAGAAAACCCAACGAGGUAUUGAUCAAAGAAAAAUUAGGGAGCAUACCUUCACAGAUGGAGGAAGGAAGCUGUUCGUCUUCGCAGAGAGAAAAUCUAGGGAAAGAGAAAAACGUCUUAUGAAAUACUUGGGGGGGAGGUUGGAUUUAUUUUGGUCUUUUUUAUUUAUAACUCUCCCCUUAAAACCUACGUAAAUUUAUCACUUAAUGAAAUCCUUCCAAAUAUAUGACCUUUCGAAUACACCUAGAUUUGAUUCAACUUUUUUAUAAUCAUAAUUGAAUACACCCAUAUUUGAAUGGACUUUUUAAAAGUUCAUAUAGGUCCGAAAUGAAUAUACUCAAACUUGUAAAACCUCUUUUAAAGUUUGUAUAAAUCCAAAUUGAAUACACCUGGAUUUUUAAAAUCUUUUUAAACACUUUAUAAUCCUAAUUGAAUACACCCCCCUUAUUCUCAAAAGACUAUAUUACUUUACCUCUAUCUCUGUGAAAUGUAAAAAGUUGAAACUUUAAUGUCAAACCUCAACAAAAGAUGAACUUUCAUCAGUUACGUUGAAUUUGGAUUUGUUGAACUUAAGUGGUUUUAUUUUCUUUGUCAGUGUUUGAUGACUUAAUUUGGUAUUUAUUUCUUCUUUUUUUUCCUUGGAAAUGUGUUCCACCAACGUGAGGAAGAAAAAUAUGCACAAAUUAAUAUAUUUAAUAGAAGCCCAAGAUUUCGGAUGCAUAUAAUUUCUACAAAAAUCUACAAAGUUUUUUACUUUACAAACUUCUUAUGUCUACCAAUUUCUACUAAAAUUAAUUUCUCUGUGGUGCUCAAAUUCAUCAUAUGUGUGUCGUUAAUUUUAUUGAAAAUUGGAAGUUCCCAUCAUUUUUGUUUUUUGGGAAUUUUCUGAACCAAGGAAAAUCAAGUAAAAUUAAUAAAGCCUAAAUUGGAAAGGGAAAAUAUCUAGAGGAUGCAUUGUAGGAUUGCUCAUGCCAAUAAUUGUACCCUCUAAAUAUAUAGAGACAUAUUUUUUUUGUUUUCAUGACAUGUGGUCCUAAAAUUAUUGUGUAAAUCUUCAAUCCUGAACGAUGCACCUAAAACUCAUCCACCCAUUCUCAGGCCAAUUAUUGCACCUAGUGGGCUCUCGACCCCCUCUCAAAUUUAACCACAUAUUUUAUGGACCAUCCAGCUGUGAGGUACAUUCCCCCCACAUGCCACAAUUGUAUAUUCACAAUUACGUCUGAUACAUCACAUCAUGCCACUUGCCUCAAAUGAAUUUAAGUGAGUGAGGCAGUUGGAAGUAAUUAAGCUCUAUAUUGGUGGGUGGAGUGUUACUUCUCGGUUCCCCUCAUCAUUCGUCUAUAAAAUGGUGAAGGCAGUUGCUAUUGUUACCAUAAGAGCCAGCUCCGACUUCCUUUAAUUUCUUGCUUCAUAUCCACUAGCUACAUCUGUUACCAAGUUAAUUUCAGUUCUAAUGGGGUUUCAUCUCCCACUCAUCUUUGCUCUUCUCAGUGUAAGCUCUGCAAUUUGAUUAACUUUUCCAUUCUCUCUCAUUGUACUCUAUAUAAACGAAAGUUUUGUGUUCCUAUUGUUCUCUCCGAUUUUAUUUAGUACGUACUUAAGUGUCGUCCACUAAUUAAUUAUACUUUGUGAUUUGAUUUUAAUUUGAGUUUGAAUUAAUGUUGCAGCUAGCAGCAGUGGCACUGGCAAACCAUGCUGCUCAACCAGCACCUCAACUUUACUGGAGCUCCGUCCUGCCAAACACACAGAUGCCAAGAUCUAUCAGUGAACUUCUGCAUCCUGGUUUGUGUUGAGCUCUUUAGAAUCUUAGAUAUCUCUUCUACCUGCCAUUUUACUAAAAUAUGUUCCACCACAUAUUUAUCAGUUAACCAUUGUCAUUACAUGAGUGACACAUAUUCACAAAUCGGCUGAUCACUUAUUUUCCAUUAUGACUUGAUAUAUAAUUUGCAGACUCCACAAAUGAAGAAAAGAGCACAAAUGACGUUGGCAAACCUGAAACUUUCCCAUUGGGCAAUCAACAUUACUCCAGUCAAAAACAUUAUGGAGGCAUACCUGAAACUUCCCCAUUGGGCAAUAAACAUUACUCCAGUCAAAAACAUUAUGGAAGAGGCAAACCUGAAACUUUCCCAUUGGGCAAUCAGCAUUACUCCAGUCAAAGACAUUAUGGAAGAGGCAAACCUGAAACUUUCCCAUUGGGCAAUAAACAUUACUCCAGUCAAAAACAUUAUGGAAGAGGCAAACCUGAAACUUUCCCAUUGGGCAAUCAGCAUUACUCCAGUCAAAAAAAGUAUGGAAGAGGUGCUUCUCCAUCCGACAAUCAACAACUCCAUUAUAAAGACUUAGCUAUUUUCUUCUUGGAGAAGGACAUGCGCCCUGGCACAACAAUGAAGUUCCAAUUCC